ACAGAGAGAGAGAGAGAGAGAGAGAGAGAGAGAGAGAGAGAGAGAGGUUUGCAUUGUGAUGAGUGUGAACCCAUGAGACGUUGCAUAGUAUUAUCUUCUGCUACUAUCCCUCCCCAUUGGUUCUGCAAACCCAACACCAACCAAGAUAAGCGUUAGGCUAGUCGGUCGCCUUACCGCUUCUGGUGACGGUAUACUGUUGAUGUAUGUAUAAAUAAUGAACGACUGAGUUUAGUAUUCAUCUAUCUCUUUUGAAAUACCAAACGUACAAUAUGUGACAUUUGUGUAACAAAAGCCGUCUCCUUAUUCUUAUACUUCCAACACCUAGAGUAGUACGUAGCAGUGGUAGUCUUAUCGCACUUACUGACCUUUUUGUUUCAAUUGAUUCUCUCGAUUGAUAAGUGGCCGGUGUUUGGUCCUAAAUAGAAAUUAGGUUAAAUUAUAAACAUAAUCUUUUUCACAAAUGUAUGUUUUACAAUAAGGUAGAAUAAUUAUGUUGACAAAAUUGAAGGUUUCAAUGUACGAUAGAUUAAUUGGAAUGUAGAUGAUUCUCAGUUGUUGAGGCAUUCACUUUAUUUGGUGCGGAUGUAUAAUUGAUGGACAGUCGUUCAUGCACGUGUGUUUGUAUGAAGAUAUGUAAAGCAACCCUCUAGAUAUGAAUAGACAUAAGGUCUUUGUAAGUUGGGCUACUACUAUAUAGCGAAUUAAUUUUAUGUUGAAACCUCAGCUUUAUUCAUGAUAUCAAAGUAGGGUGUUUCAUGUGUGAAGCCCAACGGCUACACGUGCUUCACAUCACUCAUUUUAUUUUGUCCAUGUGCUAAGCUUAAAAAUUCGUCACGUGAUGAGACGUGUUGGAGUAUUAAUCCUACAUCGAAAAGAAGGAAACUUGCAUUGACAAAUAAGAUACGCUAAUACCCAUAUUAUCAAUUAAUUUUAUAAAUUUUAUAGUAAAACCCAAACAUUUUUCAUAAUUUUCUUUGGAGUUAACUAAAGCCAGAAGUUUGUGGUGUUGUUAACUCACUACCUAGGAGUGGACAUUUUAACCGGUAAAUCGGGUCGAGAAAACCAAAAGAAUCGGGUUUGACAUUGUCACAUUCUUGUUGCAUUUUUUCCCAAAUACCGAAUGUAAUGUGCCAUUCUUGUUACGGACAAGGAUUGUCUGCCCUCCUAGUUGUGGUGCCCUUCUAUGCCCUCCUAUUUUGUGCGGUCACGGUUAAGCCACGUCAACAUUUUAUAUUAAUUUUUUAAUGAGAUAAUAAGACAAAAAACAAUAAAAAUAUAAAAUAUUAACGUGGCUUAACCGUGACCGCACAAAAUAGGAGGGCAUGGAAGGGCACCACAACUAGGAGGGCACCUUGUCCUUCUUGUUACAAAAGCCUCUUUAUUCUUAUCCAAUAGAAGUAGUACGUAGUCUUAUCUCACCUAAUGGUCUUUUCUGUCAAUUGAUUCUCUCAGUUUAUAUAUAAGCUUUGUUUGUUUCAAAAUACAAAUUAGCUAAAUCAUAAACGUAAUGUGUUUCUGUUUGGAUCUUACUGUACACCAUUGAUCUGUUUAAUUGAGGCUGUUGAAUUUUAAUAUUUUUCUUAAAUAUUACUAUUGCUGAUUCGAAUUCAAUAGAGAAAACCAGGCAUUAUCCAUUGCUGGUUGUUUGUUGGAGAUCCAUUUGUUGAUAAAGACUUACUCAAGUGAUGGCAAGGAUUUUCCAACUUGGCUUGAGUAAAGAAAAGAUAAAAGAAGGUACCAUCCAUUUGUGAUAUUAUCCCUUUGGCCAAUUUGAUAAUUUAUUCUUUUUGGCCAAUUUGAUAGUAUUUCCUAAUAGAAUGCUCAGUGUUCAUUAAGAUAAAGAUGGCCAUCAAAAGGCCUUUGGUAGCCACGGUAUGGACUUUACAACACGUUCAAGCGUAUUAGUCCUAUAAAUACAUAAAACCGUGUAAUGAGAAGGCAACCUUCAACUUAACAUACAAAUAUGCCUUGCACAAAUCUCGCUCUAGGCGAACACUUCUCACACUCAGAGAACUAACUAACUCACAUUUUGAGAAAUCACUAACUCUCCACUUUCCUAACUACUUAAAGCUCGAUUGAUUAUCUAUCCAAGUCUCAGCUGACGAGGAGUCCUUGAUUCUUUAAUUGAACGAGGUCACUUUACUAGCUUUCCAACCAAAUUAAGUGUUUUAUGCUUGGUUACUUCUGGUACAUUUUAGAGUUCGGUAUUCUGACGGUUGAACAACAUUUACCAUCAAGACAUUUAUCUCUUUCGAGUACGAGUAUCCUUACAGUUUAACUCCGAACUGAUCAGAGCACUUAUAUUUUCACAAAUAUAGUCGAGGCGGCCGAACCUGGUGCAAAAGAUCAUGAACUUCACAGUGACUAACAACCUUUUUGACAUCACCACCACAUUCAUUCUACUAACCGACCGAGUUCGAUGGCAAGUUAGCACGACCGCAUUCAUCAUAAUGACGUAGUUAGCUUUUUGUUAUUCAGUCUACGUGUAAGUAAACUUGAUAGUUUUUAAGGUCAACAAUUUCACAAAUUGUGCUUUACAUUCUAACAAGUUUUACGAUCUCAACUUAUACUAGACGAAGGCGGACGAUCGAUUGUUAGUUGUUGCUGCGAGUUUCAUUGUGAUUGCGGAUGUAUAAUUGACAUACAAUCGUAACGUGUGUUUGUGGGCAAAGCAACUCUCUAGACAUCAAAAGAUAAGGUCUUUAGUUUUAUUCAGAAUUUGAGGUGUCUAUAUAAGUCACAAAAACCAAGAAACCUCUCGAACUCGUACCUUGGAUGCAGUGGAUGGGUUCCUAUCACAUGGUUGUCGCCAAAGGCAACAGAAGAGUACUCGCUAUAAUACUAAAUUAACAUGGUCCACUAGACGGUGGCUUUCCACCCUUUUUGUCGAUCGUGAGAGUAUGAUUUGGCCAAAUGCACUGUUAUUCUCCCAAAGUCGAGGUCAAUUUAGUAAACUAAUAUAUAGAAGUUUUUAAAAGUCACUAGUCUAGUAGCGGGUAGAGGCCUGUCGCUUAGGGGGGCCUAGGUAAUUUUUUAUUUUUAAUUAAUUUUUUAUAUAAUAUAUAGAUAAAUAUCUACUUAUAUUUUUUUUAAAAUAUAACUGUAUUGAGAUACAUUAAUUAGAAAAUGGAACUAUAUAUAAAUUAUAAAGUAUUAGAAUUGAAAACAUGGGGAAUAAACAUAUAAUGAGUGUUCAUCUCAAUAUUUAACAAGUUUUUUACAAUUUAUUGAAAAAAUAAAAUGUAAAAUGAAAGUUAUCUAUUUUCUAUCUAAAUGAGAGUUACGAUCUAGACGAGCGCCUACGCAGAUCUAGACGCUCUUUCUUAGUUUUCAAACGUCUAGUGAUCAAUCAAAGCGAUGACUACCUGCUUAGCGCCUAGGCAGGCUUAAGCGAAGCUAGGCGGUAAUUUUUAAAAGAAUGUGAUAUAUAGUUAGUAAUGAUAGCUACAAGGAAGAAAGAAACAACCCCACUGUACGAAACCAAAAACACUAAGCUACGAUGUGUUCUUAUCAUCUUAAGUUGUCCUACGAAUAAGUUAUGAAACCUAAUAUUAUGUUGUUGACCUAACCAAGUAGCUAGUAGCUAGUAUCGUUCACAUCAUCACUCCUAAAGUAACUUGAGGUAAAUUAGUUGCAAGAUAGCUAGAAUACAGAUCCGUCAAGGGACAUUUUUGUAAGACACAUUUUUAUUGAAAGCGCUACAAAUUUUUAUCGAAAAUUCAAGUACAUCUUGUUGGAGCAUAACGUGGUAUUGUUUGCAUACAUCAUGUAAAACUUUUACAUGUUAGGAUUUAACAAAGCAAGUAUUUUACGUUUUCAUCUCUCACACUUCAUUGUGAUCGAAACUCAAAAGAAAGAUGAUAAUAAGGUCAACUAGUACCCUAAUGAAUAUGAUUUUUAAUUUUCCGUGUAUUGCAUUACGGUUAAAAUGCAAGAUUUUUCCAAUAUUAAACUAUCAUAAGUAGUGUGUGAUGUCAGAGAUAUUACGAGACGAAGAACUUGCUGGUUCUAGUAUGAAAAUUGUUUUUGAAAUUUUGAUUUAAAAUGAUUCAGUCUUCAUAGGUGUCGGCGGGUUGGAUUGGUUUUUAGCUUAAAAGACCAUUUCUGUCCAUUAAUGUUGGUAGUCAGUUGAAUCAAUUAUUUUUUCUACGUGUUUAAUCUUAAACAAAAUUAAAAAAACGGUUUGUUUGGGGAAGGCUGUUAUUUAUUUUUAUUAAUUUUGAAAAAGUCGCGGUAAAAUCCCGGACAACUGUCAGCAGCUGGAGUCACUGUCAGUCGCGCUUGCACGCCGCCGUAGCUUAUUAAACUCCGGUCACUCACUUCCGCUCGUCUUCCGCCGGAAACGCCCUUUUUUUUUUGCUCGAUCAAUAAAAAUUAAAGUUAAAAAAAAAAGAAAAGAAGAAGAACGUUUCUGAAUUACCAAUCAGCUCUUCAACUUCCAUUGGCCACAGCAGUACAGAGCACUGUGUCUCUCUACUUUCUCUCUCUACACACUCUCUCGUAUACUUUCUCUCUCUAUACAGAGAGAAACACAGCACGAGAGCUCUCUGUUGGUAUUUUUUACGGACGUACACGCGGUUGUGUAGGCGUAGAUUCCUUUGCCCCCACUGCGUCAUAUAAUUUUAUCAAUAAAUAAAUGCCAAAAAGCUCUCUCUCUCCCCGCUGAAACCGCAUUUAUACACAGAGAGAGGGCCUAUUCCUAACGUUUUCCUCAUUUUUAUGUGCUGCUUUGGUUUGCCUAUAUUCACUCCUCCUCCGGGGAUCUCAGCCGUCCUCCGCCGCUCUUGCGAGAAUUCACCGGCUCAGCUGUCACCGGCAAGUUUCUCUCUUUGCUUUGGUAUUUAUUUCUGCUGAAAUUUUAAGCUGUUUUUUGUUUGUAAAGUUGGAAACUUUGCUGUGAUGGAAUUGAUGGGUUUUGAGUAUGUUGAUUUUGUGCGGAUUUUGAGGGCAUAAGUGGGUAAUUUGUGGAUUUUGGGCAGAUGGGCAGAUGGGCAGCUGUUGUUUUAGCCCAGUGCAUACGUGGUCUACAGUGUACUGCUUUUGGAUUUCUGGGGAACCUAUAGAGAAUAAUUGCCAGAAAGAUAUGGUCUUGUAGUGUAAACUUAUUGAUUUCUGGGUGAAAUCGAAGGUUUCAUAUCUGGGUUUGUUUUAAUUCGUUGAAUUGGGGAUUUAUAUCUCGUGGAAUUGGACUAUUGGCGUUAUAAAAUUCUGGAGUUUUUGUGGAAUUUGGAUUUAUGGAGGCUUUUGGAGGCAGAGCUCGGAAUUUCUAUGGUACGAUGGUGCCGGAUUUGAAGGGGGCUGGGAAAAAGAGUUUGGAAUGGGAUUUGAAUGAUUGGAAAUGGGAUGGUGAUCUUUUUACCGCUAGUCCUUUGAAUGCUGUACCAUCUGAUUGUAGGAGCAGGCAGUUGUUUCCGCUUGGGCUGCCGGAAACUCCCUCCACUGCUGGUUUGUCCAACAGUUCUUCUUCUGGUUCGGACGGUAUCUGUCCAGGGAAUGAGAAAGGUAAAAGAGAGCUGGAGAAAAGAAGAAGGGCUAGUUUUGUAGAAAAUGAAGGGCUAACUGAUGAAGUUGGGUCUCUUAAUCUCAAGCUUGGCGGGCAAGCUUACCCAAUCAUGGAAGGAGAGGUACAACAUGGGAAGAAGACGAAGAUAGUUGGGACUACUUUAAACCGAGCAGUUUGUCAGGUGGAGGACUGUAAGGCUGAUCUUAGCAAUGCCAAGGAUUACCACCGACGACAUAAGGUCUGUGAUAUGCAUUCUAAGGCAACUAAAGCGGUGGUGGGAAAUGUUUUGCAGCGGUUCUGUCAGCAGUGUAGCAGGUUAGUUCAAUUCUAUGGUUGUCCUUGUAUGGUGAGAAAUAUUUCAAAUUUUCUUCAGUUAAGUUCUACGUCGUUUAUUCGGUGCUUUCUUAUAGACAUUGUUUCUAGAAGAUGAAAUACAGAGUUUGAUUUGUAAGUUUUAAAAAAAUUAUUUGUUGCUCUCAUGAUUUGGGUCCAUAGUUGUUCAUCACUGUGUUUGGUAUAGUCGAAUUUUGAAGAACUUUUUUGUUGAAUUUGGAAUGUGGUUAUACUUAUGGGCAGGUUUCAUGGCCUUCAAGAGUUUGAUGAAGGAAAGAGAAGUUGUCGUAGACGUUUGGCAGGCCACAAUAGGAGGAGAAGAAAAACACAUCCUGAUACUGUAGUUAAUGGAGGCUCAUUGAAUGAUGAAAGAGGAAGCAGUUAUCUAUUGAUUAGUUUGCUGAGAAUACUCUCCAACAUGCACUGUAAAUCUUUGUGUUAUUGCACAUUCAAUUUUUGGCUGCUUUGCCUGACAUUAAAUUGAUAUGCUAAGUGUAUGUUAAGUGGUUACCGGAUUGUGUGUUGAUUGCCAUAGACUGAUGUCAAAGUUCUUGUGGUCUUUUGCUCUUAGGUUUUGUCAUUAUUUGAUUGAGGCUUGUAGCAAAAUGAUUAUGUCAAUUAACAUUUAAUAACUCCACUCAUAAAUUUUUAUUUGUAAACAUACAACAUAUUACUUGAUGAGUCCUUAACUGCUUAAGGUGCUCUAUUUUUGUGUAUAAAUGACAAAGUGCUAGUUUCUCUGAAUUUAAUUUGAUGAAAAUUUGAAUAUUGAUGCUUACGCAUGAAAAGUUUUCAGUUUUUCAGAGGUUGAUUUGAUAGAAAGUUAGAAUUUUGUGCAGACCUUCAUGUCGAAAAAUAUUUCAAUUUUUAUAAUCCAGAUUACACCUUGUGUGCUUGAAUUUCAUCCCUUGAACCCUUGUUUUUUGCACUUUCUUUCUCUGAUUGUUGGACUGUCCAUAUUUCACAUUCUAGGAUGCAUGAAGGAAGGGCCUAUUAAAGGGAAUUCUAAUUAGGAAUUGUUAUUUAGGAAAUUAUGUCUCAGUGAUCAUGUUAUUAUAAUAUUUAUUUGAUUAUGUUUGUGUUUGUUUUUCUUCUCAUAAGUGUCUUACUCAACUCCACUUUUGAUGCCUAAAAUGCAGCUAAUAGUUCAGAUCAAACAAAGGAUCAGGAUUUGCUAUCUCAUCUUUUGAAGAAUCUAGCCAAUCUUUCUGGUACAGUUGAUGGAAGAAACAUGUCUGCAUUGCUUACGGCAUCUCAAGGUUUAAUAAAUGGCGGGGCAUCAAUUCAGACUGCACAAAAGGUCCCAGAUACAGUUUCCAACGGCUGUGAACCAAGUAAGCCUUCUGUUUCAGCCUCUAAAAUGGAUGAUUAUAUUAAUGGUGAGGACCCUUCAAGACCUAUACGACAGUGUUCUACGGUACCUGCAUCAGAUUUCAGGAGAAUAUCUUCAGUUGAUGCAGAUCAUGGAGGUCUACAAGUUGUUUCAGGUCUAAAUGCCACGAAGCCAUUUCCUUCAAGAGACAGUGUUCCAUCCACAUCAGUUGCACCAGAAGCUACAAUGGGGAGGAUGCAGUUAAAUGGCAUUGAUUUAAAUAAUACAUAUGACGAUUCCCAGGACUAUUUGGACAACCUAGGGAAUUCGCAUGCCCCUGUAAAUUCAGGGACAGUGGCUCAUGGUUUUCCCUUUUGGAUGCGUCAGGAUUCGCAAAAGUCUAGCCCACCUCAGACAAGUGGGACUUCAUGCUCAACUUCAUCAAGUUCUAGUGGAGAUGCUCAGGUAUAUUCUUGUUGUACUUGCAUCUCGUUCCUCGUUAUUGCUUGGUAUAUUAAUGCUUGUAUAUGCCAUAACCUGUCCUUUUCUGUUGGAUAAAAGAAUAGCUUUGUUCUCACUUUAAUUUGGCAUUUAGGUGACAAUGCUUUGCAUUCGACUUGUCCGUUUGUCUAGCCAAUUGAUUGAAAAAACAUGAAGUACUCGGCAUACCUAAUAAAUACUUCUGUUGUGACGUAAGAGUCAAGAUGGAUUCUCUUCUUUUGUAUAGUGCUUUGUAUGUAUAAAUGUGUGCGUAUGCUUCUGCUUGAUAAGGUUUAUAGAGUUGUAGUUAAACUACAGGAGGUUGCAGGCUAUAUCAGUUAGAGUUGAGUAUUUUUUAAAUAUUUUUUAUUAUGAAGGCCAGUGUGUAAAAUGUUACUGCACUGUUACGUCUCUUAACCACUCUUUUUCUGCCGUGUUUCAGAGUCGCACAGACCGUAUUGUUUUUAAACUCUUUGGAAAAGAUCCAAAUGAUCUUCCAUUUGUUCUACGAGCACAGGUAAUAUUUGGUGCCUUGAUUUAAUUCUUCACAAUGUAACUUGUGUUUCCUUGCACAUACAACAAUUUUAUGAAAUAUUUUGAAUAUCCAGAUUCUCAACUGGUUGUCCCACAGUCCUACUGACAUUGAAAGCUACAUAAGGCCGGGAUGUAUCAUUUUGACAGUUUACCUCCGUCUAGAAAAAUCCACGUGGGAGGAGGUAUGUUUCUGUGCUGAUGCCAAAAUGUUGAUUGCUGACCUUGUAUCAGGGAGAUCUCUUUUCUUGUCCUUAAUUGUUAUGUUUGCCUGCAGCUCUGCUGUAAUCUGGGAUCCAUUAUAAAACAACUUUUACAUGCUGCCAAUGAUCCUUUUUGGACAACAGGAUGGGUGUAUACUAGGGUGCAACAUUCUGUAGCAUUUACGUACAAUGGUUUGUUCUCUCUCUCUCUCUCUCUCUCUCUCUCUCUCUCUCUCUCUCUCUCUCUCUCUCUCUCUUAAUUAUUCAUUCAUAUAUUUUCUAGCUCAUUUAGUGAUUUACCAAUAGUUGUGUUAUGAAAGAAAAGACAUUUUAAAUAGUUAUGUCUGUACUGCAGGUCAAGUUGUCUUAGACACACCCUUACCUCUGAAAAGCCAUAAAAAUUGCAAGAUAUCAUGCAUCAAACCAAUUGCAGUUUCUUUAUCCGAAAGAGCUGAAUUUGUAGUAAAGGGGUUUAAUCUUUCUCGUGCCACCACAAGGUAUCCUUAUCUUUCAUUCAAGCUUCAUUAUGUAGACCACUCCAGUGUCAUAUGUUAUUUCUGAAUUAGUAACUAUCAGGAUAACUGGGAAGGAGGAAAGUACUAAGUCCUAGCUUGUGACAGGUUGCUCUGUGCUCUGGAAGGGAAGUAUCUAGUCCAAGAAACUUGUUAUGACUUGAUGGAUGGUGCUGAUACAACCUUUGCGAAUGAUCAGCUACAGUGCCUCAGAUUCUCCUGCUCUAUACCCAAUGUUACUGGCCGAGGACUCAUUGAGGUGCUGUUCCAUUCUUAAUAUAUGUUUUAUAUUUCCUUUGAAGUGUGCUUAUCAUUACUUAUUUAUUUAUUUUUAUUUCAGGUUGAAGACCAUGGUCUCAGCGGCUGCUUCUUUCCAUUUAUAGUUGCCGAGCAGGAAGUAUGUUCAGAGAUUUGUACCCUGGAGGGUGCGAUUGAGGUGGCUGAGACUGCAGAUAACAUCCAGACAGAACCUGAAAAGUUGGAAGCCAAGAACCAAGCGUUGGACUUUGUACAUGAAUUGGGUUGGCUCCUUCACAGAUGUCACACUAAAUUUAGACUUGGUCACGGGGAUCCCAACUUAGAACUAUUUUCUUUUAGACGGUUCAGGUUGCUUAUGGAGUUUUCCAUGGACCGUGAUUGGUGUGCUGUAGUGAAGAAACUCCUGGGCAUUCUGCUUGAGGGUACCGUUGACACUGGAGAACAUCCUUCUAUUGAGCUUGCGUUAUUGGAUAUGAGCCUCCUCCACGGAGCCGUGCAAAGAAAGUGCAGGCCUAUGGUGGAACUCUUGUUAAGAUUUGUCCUAGACAAAGGGUGGCAACAAGUUGACGGGGACGGCAGCAACUUCUUAUUUAAACCCGAUGCAGUUGGGCCCAUGGGAUUGACUCCUCUUCAUGUUGCAGCCAGUACUGAUGGAUGUGAGAAUAUAUUGGAUGCCUUAACUGAUGAUCCUGGAAAGGUAAUUUCUCAUUGUCUUCUUUGACAGUUUUCUUUCUAAUUGGAUGUAAAAAUCAGAACAGGUCUGCAUCAUUAUCCAUUUUUCUCCGUACGUGUUUGACCGUUUGCUCAUACAAAUGACUCAUGUCAGCUCAUUCUGUGUCUCACAUGAAUGUUGAUAUUUCAAAUCGUUGUAUUUUCAAGCAUACAAAUGUUGAUAUCUUUGCUUCUUUAGGUGGGAAUUGAAGCGUGGAAAAAUGCUCGAGACAGUACAGGAUUGACACCAAAUGAUUAUGCAUGCCUGCGAGGCCGCUACACCUAUGUCCAAAUUGUCCAGCGGAAAAUCAACAAGAAACAUGAAAGCGGGCACGUGGUGCUUGAUAUCCCUGGCGUUAUCUUAGACAGCAGCAGCAAGCAGAAACAAUUAGAUGGGCAUAAGUCCUCAAAAGUCUCCAUCUUGGAGACCGAAAGGAUCGAUAUGAAAGCAAUGCAGGCACAUUGCAAGCAAUGUGAAAUGAAACUAGCAUAUGGAAACACAAGGUCGUUUGUGUACAGGCCGGCAAUGCUGUCAAUGGUAGCCAUUGCUGCUGUCUGUGUUUGCGUGGCCUUGCUCUUCAAAAGCUCGCCUGAAGUCCUUUAUGUCUUCCAGCCCUUCAGGUGGGAACUCUUGGAGUAUGGACCGAGCUAAGGCAGUUUACGCGUCUCAAAUUUUAGUUACUCUGGCUUUAGGCCGUUUGUGUUAAUCAUAUGUAUAAACGGAUAACUCAAAUUUUAGUUACUCUGGCUUUAGGCUGUUUCUGUUGAUCAUAUGUAUAAACCGAUAACUCUAUAGGGAACAUAAUGUACCAGUUUUCGUAUCCGUUAAGAUUUCCACGAGAGGUGUUGCACUGUAUGUAUUAAUGAUAGUUCAUAUAAAGCGUGUAUAGGGAAAGAUUGACGUAAAUAGUACUAUUGACCAAUUGUUGAGGCAAUAGAUUGCUGCAUUACUUCCAAAAACACAUACAAACAUUGUAUUCGAUGAGGCGGAAGAUUCGGACUUGAAAAUUCUUUCGCUUUUAAGUCAGCUUUCUUAAACAGAAGACAAUAUUUAGUAGGGCGGCCUGACUAAUAAUUUCUUUCGCUUUUAAGUCAGCUUUCUUAAACAGAAGACAAUAUUUAGUAGGGCAGCCUGACUAAUAAGUAGGUUAGACUACUCUUGCUAAAUUUUAUGCAUUGAGAGUUGUAUUUACGUAAGACUGGAUGGUGACCAAAUACAUAGAAUCACGUUCCUUCAUGAGGGGAUAAGGCUGUCUCACAAAGGUUGGAGCUUUGUGCUUACUUAGAUACAUGAAUCUCGUUCUUUCGUGAGUCAACUUUUCAGGUUAUUCAACUCAAAUGUUAUGAAUAAAAUUGGGCCAAAAUUAGAUCAAACAGUUGUUUUUCUCCAAAUAUUUUUAAUUUGGUCAAAUGCAUGAAUCUCGUUCUUUAGUGAGAUAACUUUUCAUGUUAUUCAACUCAAACGUUAUGAAUAAAAUUGGACCAAAAUUAGAUCAAACAGUUGUUUUUCUCUAAAUAUUUUUAAUUUGGUCAAAUCCAAUCCGAGUCUAAUAUUAACUAGCAAAAAAAAAAGCAGAAAAAUGGAUUUUACAGGCUAAUAAAAUAAUAGGAAAAGGACUCCAGUCACAGAGACACGUUGACUCAUAUUUUGACAUGAAAUUGUUUUCCACUUCAACAAGUCAUAUUCAUGGUCCUUACAUAGUGUACACAAUUAUUACCUUGUUUAAUCUUUUUCAAUUAUUUUGUCGUUUUGAACCUUUUUUCUUUGGUUUAAUUGCCAAUAAUUCAAGCAUUAAAUCUUGAUCUCGAAAUGGAACAAUUUUCCGGUGUACUAAGAUCACGUUCACGUAAAAUUACUGGUUCAUUUAAAUUAUAUUACGUAGAUUUGUUAAUAUUAAGUUUAGGUUAAAUCUCACAAUAAUUAGUAAUAAUAUGACGAGAAUUAAACUUGAAAUAUAUCACUUAUAAUAAAAUAAAAUAUCAUUAGUUUAAAUAUUAAAAUGAUACACCUCGUAACUUGUAACGCUGUUAAUUUCUAAUCGAAAUCAAAAGGAGACGCGUCAUUUGAGGCCACCACCUCUCUCCUCUCACUCUCCCCACUGAAACCGAAUUUACACAGUAAGAGAACCCUUUUCCUAACCUUUUCCUAAUUUUCAUGUGCUGAUUAGCUUUGUCUCGGGGCCUAUAUUCUCUCUGCCUCAACUGCGAUCUCAGCCACUUCUUCGUCAGCUCUCAGUUCUCAGCUCAUCUCCCAACAAUUCACCAACCUGCCGGCAAGUUUCUCUCUCUUUACUCUCUCGCUCUCCUCUUUAUUUCCACAAAAAAAGAUUGGGUCUUUCAGUUCUUUCAGCUCAAGUUUCUUUCCAUGGAGUUGAAAGCAUUGACUAGGAUGUAAUUGUGGGCUUGCAAAUACGGUAUUUUGUACUGACUUGUUGAGAGAAAAACUGGGUAAUUGGUGGAUUUUGGGUUCUGGGCAGCUGUAGCCUGUAGUUUAGCUCCAUUUUUAUGCUGGUGUGCUGUUCUUGGUUUUCUGGGGUUCUUGGAAAGAACAAUUUCCAGAAAUUUCUGGGGCUGUGGUGUUAUUGACUUUUUGUUUUGGGGUGAAAUUUAUAGUUUUAUCUCUGAGCUGUAGUUGUUGUUAUUGUUCAAUUGGGUGUUUGUAUCUGGUGGAGUUUGACUAGGGGGCAUUGUAACAUCUCUGGGUUUUUUGUAUCUUGAUCUAUGGAGUCUGAAUUCGGAGGAAAGGCUUGUAAUUUUCGUGGUGUGAUGGUGCCGAAUUUGAAGGGGGUUGGGAAAAAGAGUUUGGAAUGGGAUUUGAAUGAUUUUAAAUGGGAUGGUGAUCUUUUUACUGCUAGUCCAUUAAAUUCUACACCAUCUGAUGGUAGGAGUAGGCAGUUGUUUCCGGCCAGGCCAGAAACUCCGUCGGAUGCUGGUUUGUCCAACAGUUCUUCUUCUGGUUCGGAUAAUAUCAGUCCGGGGAAUGAGAAAGAUCAAAGAGAAUUGGAGAAACGGAGAAGGGAUUUUUUUGUGGAAAACCGAGAGUUGAAUGAUGAAGCUGCGUCUCUGAAUCUUAAACUUGGCGGGCAAACUUACCCCAUUAUGGAAGAAGAAGUACAAACCGGGAAGAAAACAAAGACAAUUGGGACUACUUCAAACCGUGCAGUUUGUCAGGUGGAGGACUGUAAGGCUGAUCUUAGCAAUGCCAAGGAUUAUCACCGGAGGCAUAAGGUCUGUGCUAUGCAUUCUAAGGCAACUAAAGCGCUGGUUGGAAGUGUUAUGCAGCGGUUCUGUCAACAGUGUAGCAGGUUGGUUCCAUCCUAUUGUUAUUUAUUGUUUGGUUGAAACAUUUCCCCGAUUUUCUUGAAUUAACUUGAAAUACAGAGUUUGGUUGUGUAAAUUUUGUUGUCAUGCGUUUGUUGUGCAUGGCUGUUCAUCAAUCUUCUUACGGUAUGGUUGAGUUCUGCAGAAGGUUUUUUUUGUUGAAUUAAAUGUAACAGGGUUAACACUCGUGGACAGGUUUCAUGCUCUUCAAGAGUUUGAUGAAGGGAAGAGAAGUUGCCGUAGGCGUUUGGCUGGCCAUAAUAGGAGGAGAAGAAAAACACAUCCUGAUACUGCAGUUAAUGGAGGCUCUUUAAACAAUGAAGGCGGAAGCGGUUAUCUAUUGAUUAGCUUGCUGAGAAUACUUUCAAAUAUGCACUGUAAGUACUUGCCUUAUUCAUUGUACACUUCUGUCUUAGUGAAACAUUGUAUCUCAGAUUUAUUUGAAUCCGCAUAUUAUGCCAUUUAUAAAUUGCAGCUAGUAGUUCUGAUCAAACAAAGGAUCAGGAUGUCAUAUCUCAUUUGUUGAGGAGCUUAGCCAAUGUUGCUGGUACGGCUGAUGGAAGAAACAUAUCUACAUUGCUGCAGGGAUCUCAAGGUUUAUUUAACAGUGGGACAUCUGUCCAGACUGCACGAAGGGUUCUAGAUAUGAAUGCUGGUGUUAAUACUGAGGACCCUUUAAGGUCUAAAGGACACUGUUCGAUACUACCUGCAUCAAGAGACAGUUCUGAAUCCAAAUCAGUUACACCGGAAGCUACAAGUAGAAGGUUCCAGUUAAAUGAUUGAUUUAAAUAGUACAUAUGAUGAUUCACAGGACUAUGUAGAGAACCUAGGGAAUUCUCAUGUUCCUGCAAGUCCAGGCACUGCAUCUCUUGGUUUUCCUUCAUGGAUGCAGCGUGAUUCUCAUAAAUCAAGCCCACCUCAGACAAGUGGGAAUUCAGACUUAACUUCUACUCAGUCACCGUCAAGUUCUAGUGGAGAAGCUCAGGUAUAUCCUUGUAAUUGCAUCUAUUCCAUAAUUGCUUGGUAAUAUAAUGCUUAAAAAUGCCUUUGUCGUGGAUGAUGCUCAGCCCACUGUAAUUCGUCUUUUUUUUAAUCUUUUUUUCCAUGAGACCAGGGAUUAAUAUAUCAAUUGUCAUUAAUCAUUAUACGGCGUAUAACUUGUCUUUUGUUUGGAUAGUAGAAUACCUUUGUUCUAUCCUUGAGAGUAGUUAGGCAGUCAUGUAUUGUGUUCUGAACGUGUCUGUGUAUCUUUCCAUGGAUUGUCAAAAUAAUGGCGAGGUUAAGUGCGCUCGCUGCUUGGUUAUGGGAUAUAUGUAAGAAAUGCUUCAAUUGUGACUUAAAGUUGAGAUCAGUUAUCUCUUCCUUCAAACCAAUAUGGCAGUUUACAAGCGCAACCACACACACAAACAUACUUGUUGUGUAUACGUCUUCUUGAUGCUGUUAAUAGAAUUGAGGUUAAAGUUACCUGGUGGUUUCUGCAGUCCUAAUGGAACAUGCAUUAUUUAUGUAAAAGGCCAGUAUGUAGAAUGUAUCUGCAAUUUUACGUUUCUUGACUGCUCUUUUUCUGCCACAUAUCAGAGUCACACAGACCGAAUUAUUUUUAAACUAUUUGGAAAAGACCCUAAUGAACUUCCACUUGCUCUGCGAUCACAGGUACUAUAUUUCCUUUGAUUUUUCUAGUUUUCAAAGUACUUUUCAAAGUAUUUUGGUGUUUCAUUCCACGGACUCCAUGAUUUUUAUAAAUUAUUUGAAUAUCCAGAUCCUCGACUGGUUAUCUCACAGCCCUACCAACAUUGAAAGCUACAUAAGGCCGGGCUGUAUCAUUUUGACAAUUUACCUUCGUCUAGAAAAAUCCACGUGGGAGGAGGUAUUCUCGACUGUGGAUGGCAGAUCCUUGUAUGAGGAAGACUUUUUCUUCAAGUCCUUAAUUUUGACAAUUCACCUCUCCCAGACCCUGAUUAAAGCGGGAGCCUUGUGCACUGGGUACGACCUUUUUUUUUAUAAUUAUUUUUGCUUACAGUUCUGUUGUCAUCUGGGAUCCAGUUUGAAAACACUUCUUGAUGCUGCGGAUGAUCCUUUUUGGAGAACAGGAUGGGUGUAUACAAGGGUGCAAGAUUAUGUAGCAUUUACAUACAAUGGUUUGCCUCUCUCUCUCUCUCUCUCUCUCUCUCUCUCUCUCUCCCCCUCUCAUUUCGUGUGUGCGUACACAUUUGUGUAUUUAGGGUCUAUAGAAGAAUCUUGCUGUUUUAGUUUUCCAUUAUGCUUUAUUGAUUUUGGUCAUGCUUUGUUUUGUUAUUUCUAGUACAUAAUGAGGAUUGACCAAAAACAUUAACCUUAUAUGAGAGAAGCAUUUUGAUUAGUUAUGUCCAUCCUGCAGGUGAAGUUGUGUUAGACACACCCUUGCCUCUUAAAAGCAAUAAAAGUUGCAGGAUAUCAUGCAUCAAACCAAUUGCGAUCUCCUUAUCUGAGAGAGCUGAAUUUAUAGUAAAAGGCUUUAACCUUUCUAGUUCCACCACAAGGUUCUUUCAUCUUUCAUUCAUGCGUCAUUACUUUGUUUUCAAUAUUCCUCUCUAGUUUUAUAGGAUAACAGAAGAAAUACUAAAUUCUAGAUCUUGAGUCUUGACAGGUUACUCUGUGCUCUAGAAGGGAAGUAUCUGGCUCAAGAAACUUGUUAUGACUUGUUGGAUGAUGCGGAUAGCACUGUUGAGGAUGACGAACAACAAUGCCUUAAAUUCUCCUGCUCUAUACCAAAUGUUACUGGGCGAGGAUUCAUUGAGGUGCUGUCAUAUUCCUAAUUGUCCCUUUCCCCCUUCCUCCUCUUGUAAUGUGCAUUUUGAACGAGCCGUAUUUUAUAAGUCCGGAAUUUGUUUAUAAAUCUUCUUAUGAAUACUGAGUAUAGAUUUGUUUCUAGACAGCGCCUUAACUGAAAUCCACGGUUCUCAUUUUAUUGGUCAAAUUUAUGUCAGGUUGAAGAUCAUGGUCUCAGCAGUAGCUUCUUUCCAUUUAUAGUUGCAGAGCAGGAAGUAUGCUCUGAGAUUUGUAUGCUGGAAGAUGUGAUUGAGGUGUCCGAGACUGAUGAUGAUAUCCAAUCUGGACCUGAAAAAGUGGAAGCUAAGAACCAAGCCUUGGACUUUAUACAUGAAUUGGGUUGGCUCCUACAUAGAAGUCGCGUUAAGUUUAGACUGGGUCAAUUGGAUCCCAAUCUAGAUACAUUUCCCUUUAGACGGUUCAGAUUGCUCAUGGAGUUCUCCAUUGACCAUGAUUGGUGUGCUGUGGUGAAGAAACUCUUGGGCAUUCUGUUUGAUGGUACUGUCGACGCUGCAGAGCAUCCUUCCCUUGAGUCUGCACUACUGGAUAUGGGCCUCCUCCACAGAGCUGUGCGAAUCAAUAGCAGACGUAUGGUGGAAUUCUUGUUAAGAUUUGUCCCAGGUUUAACAGGAUCUGAGCAGAAGGAACAAGUUGACAGGGACGGCAACAGUUUCUUGUUUAAACCUGAUGUUGUUGGGCCCAUGGGGUUGACUCCUCUUCAUAUUGCCGCCAGUACUGAUGGCUGUGAGCAAGUAUUGGAUGCCUUAACUGAUGAUCCUGGAAAGGUAAUAUCUCCGUUUUUUGAAUUGCAACAUAAUAUUUUUCUUCUAAUUCUAUGUAGAAAUCACUUUGCGCUGGCUACAACCUCCAUCCCAUCUCCAUACCCAUUUGAACUCUUGCGCCUACAGUUGACCUGUGUCUGUUCUCAUACUGUUUCACACACGUGUUUUGAUGAUUUUAACUCAUUCUAAUUUCCAGCAUGUCAGGUUGCUCACGGAUUUUAGAUCUGUAAUCAUGUCUUCUUUGACUUUGAGCUCUCUCUUUAGCUUUUCCACUGUCUUCUGCCUAAACAAAAUACACUGAUUCCAGUUAUUGAGUUGUAUUUCAAAUUCUCAAUUAACCAAUCCUAGACAAAUUAUGCAGUCUUGUAUUUUCUUUGGCUUGCGAAACAUAUGAAACAUAAAUCACCGUAGAAAAGUUAAAUGCGCCAUUCAAAUUGGUAAAGAAAGCAGCACCCCACAUCUAAAUGCAUGCUAACUCUUUCACAGCUGAAAGCGGCACCCAAAUUCUACAUUCAACUUGAAAUCAAAUAGGACUGCUGUUAAAAUUUUUGACGAUAAAUGAAUUAUGAUUCUUUUCAUCGUUCUAGUUUCAACUUUCAAGCAUGUGUUUAGGACUGCUGUCAUGAAAUUUCUUUAGUGUCAGAUAAUCCAUUCAUCAAGUUGAUAUGGGCGUUUUUUUCUUUAGGUGGGAAUUAAAGCAUGGAAAAACACUCGAGACAGCACAGGAUUGACACCAUAUGAUUAUGCAUGCCUUCGAAGCCGCUACUCCUAUGUCCAUAUAGUCCAGCGGAAAAUCAGCAAUACACUGGAAAGCGGGCAUGUGGUGCUUGACAUCCCUGGCCUCACGUUAGACAGAAAUGGAAAGCAGAAGCAAUCGGAUGCGCAUAAAUCAUCAAGAGUAGCCAGCUUGGAAACUGAAAGGAAUGAUAUAAAAGCAAUCUUACGACACUGCAGGUUAUGUGAACAGAAACCAGCUUAUAGCACCACACGGUCACUUGUAUACAGGCCGGCAAUGCUGUCAUUGGUGGCUGUCGCUGCUGUCUGCGUUUGCGUGGCCUUGCUCUUUAAAAGCAAUCCGGAAGUUGUUUUCGUGUUGGAGCCAUUCCGGUGGGAACACUUGAAGUUUGGUUCAAGCUAAGGUUAUAGUUUACGUGUAUUAAUUUAUAGUGACUCUGGUUAUACAUAGACCAUUUCUUUUCACGUGGAUAGGAGUAUAUUUUCUAUCUGAUUUUUAUAUGUAUAUCUAGGGCCACUCAAGCCAACAAGACUCUUCGCAUUGCAAUGGUCGGAACGUCUAUCGUAUCUGUAUUUGUAUACCUAAGCUUCCAAAAUAAACAUGGGCUGUCAUGGAUUUUGGUCCACCAGGUUUGAUUGUAUUUGUAUUUGUAUAACAGUGUUACAAACUGGAUGACACAUAAUUUCUCUGUUUGAUAUUUCUUUUUUUUUUUUCAAAAUAAACAUUUGGCACGAGGUGAUUCGGUGUUCGAUUAUUAGUGCAUUUACUGUAUAAAUUAAAUUUUAAUUUUAGAAAAUUCAGCAUUUUUGUUGGUUAUAUUGGAGGAAAUCGAACUUUGGUCUACUCUAAUUCUAACUUAUUACCAUACCCUCCUCCAUUAUUUGAGCUCAUAUAAGCAUAAGCACACUAAACAAGGUUAAGUAUAGAAGAAUUUGGGAAUUGAGAAUUAUUGUUUGAGCAUUAUUUCAUGUUUAGUGCAAAUUGAGGUUGAAUUAUUUUCUAAUUUUAUUAGUUUAAUCAUUUGGAUGAAUUUGUUCAUGCUUCCAUAUGAAAUCAUUAUUUUAUUAAAAUAAUUUAUUAAUAGUUCGAGAAAAACUUAAAUGGAGGUGCUCACGUCAUUCAUCACGCAUUCACAUUCACAUUCGUUACACGUUUCUCAUAAAAACAUAAAACUCUUUCAAAUGAAUAGGUUUCACUGAAUUUGGAUAAUAUCCGACUUUACAUAAGUACAAGUAUCAAUGCACAUGAUUCCAACCAGUAAUUAUUAUCUUAUUUGAAUUACUUACCCCGAAUCAGACCUGAAAAAGUGUAAUUUAUUCAAAUUUUAUUUUCUGAAAUUCAAAAAAAUAAAAUAAAAUUUGAGGAUAAGAAAAUAAAGGGUAAAGAGGUCAUUUGCAUGCCCUGCCUCCUAAAAUCCACCUCACUACUCACUACCCCGUCACUGCUCUAACAAUUUUGCAGGCCAAAGCCAUCCAUGGCUUCUUCAAUCUCUCUCUCCUUCUCUUCCUCUCUCCUCCCUCAUCCUCUUCCUUUCAACAAAUACUCCACCGCCACCGCCGCCGCCUCCCAGAAAUCCCAAUACCCCAACUUUAAGCUGCUCCUCCGCGCAUUCGCCAACCCAGCUGUAAGCCGUCGCUCCACUCCAUCUCCGUCUUCCGACACCAGAAAGAGGCACUGGAAGAAAGGUGAAUACCCAGGCGUCUCGGAGACGUCGGCUCCGGCGAAUUACAGAAAAACCCCUGGUCGUUCCACUUCAUCUGAGUCUUCCGACACCAGAAAGAAGCACUGGAAGCGAGGUGAGUUCCCGGGCGUCUCGGAGACGUCGACUCCGGCGAAUCACAGAAAAACCCCUGGUCGUUCCACUUCAUCUGAGUCUUCCGACACCAGAAAGAAGCACUGGAAGCGAGGUGAGUUCCCGGGCGUCUCGGAGACGUCGACUCCGGCGACUUACAGAAAAACCUCCGCUCGUUCCGCUUCAUAUCCGUCUUCCGACAACAGAAAGAAGCACUGGAAGCAAGGGGAGUUCCCGGGGGUCUCGGAGACGUCGAUUCCGGCUAUUUAUAGAAAACCCCCUUUGAAAAAUGUGAAGAAGAAGCUGGACCGGAAGAACAAUGCCAAGGCCUGGGUCAACACCGUCACGGAGGCCCUGUCAGACGCCAUUGACAAGAAGCAGUGGCUCCAAGCUCUUGAGGUUUUUGUCUUAAUCUAAACAAAAAUUAACAAAUUUUUCAUCUUUUUUCUUAUGUGUUUUUAGUUUGGUGAAUGUAAAUUGAUGCAAAAUUUAAAAAAAUGGUAUUUUUAUGCUUACCAAUUUAGUUUCUUGAACCAUGUUCUUGAAAAAUGUGAUCUUUUUAGCUGAAUGAUUUUAGUGGAAUUAUAAUUAAUUGGGUGUUUUUGUUUGGAAAAUGUAUGAUGAAAUUGGGUACUAUUACGUUCAGGUGUUUGACAUGCUUAGGGAACAACCAUUUUAUCAACCGAAAGAAGGGACUUACAUGAAACUCAUUGGUAUGCUUGGAAGGUGCGGCCAACCCAAUCGUGCCCGCCAGCUUUUCGAUACAAUGGUUGAAGAGGGCUGUGAACCAACUCUUGACCUUUACACAGCCUUGCUCGCGGCUUAUUGCCGGAACAAUCUGAUUGACGAGGCAUUUUCUGUUCUUAACCUGAUGAAGACUCUCCCGCAAUGCCAGCCUGACGUUUUUACUUACAGUACCUUGAUAAAGGUUUGCAUUGAUCAUUUGAAGUUUGAUUUAGUUGAGUCCUUGUAUGAGGAAAUGGCUGAGCGGUUGAUAGCUCCGAAUACAGUCACCCAAAACAUAGUGUUGAGUGGAUAUGGUAAGGCCGGGAAGUAUGACCAGAUGGAAAAAGUGUUGUCCGGGAUGCUGGAGGGUACAAGUUGCAAGCCUGAUGUCUGGACAAUGAAUGUUGUCCUUAGUGUGUUUGGAAACAAGGGUCAGAUAGAUAUGAUGGAGAGAUGGUAUGAGAAAUUCCGUGAUUUUGGGAUUGAGCCGGAAACUCGCACUUUGAACAUUCUGAUUGGUGCUUACGGGAAGAAAAGGCUGUAUGAUAAGAUGUCAACUGUGAUGGAGUACAUGCGCAAGCUUCAAUUCCCAUGGACAACCGCAACUUACAACAAUGUGAUAGAGGCUUUCGCGGACGUAGGAGAUGCAAAAAACAUGGAAUACACGUUUGAACAGAUGCGUGCUGAGGGCAUGAAAGCAGACACCAAAACAUUCUGCUGCCUUAUUAAUGGGUAUGCCAAUGCAGGCCUCUUCCAUAAGGUGGUUAGCUGCGUUCAGUUGGCUGGAAAGUUUGAGAUACCUGAGAAUACCACAUUUUACAAUGCGGUGAUAGCUGCAUGUGCAAAGGCAGAGGAUUUAAUGGAGAUGGAAAGAGUUUUCAACCGGAUGAAAGAGAAGCAAUGUCAACCGGAUUCCACAACAUACUCUGUCAUGGUUGAGGCAUAUAGUAAGGAAGGUAUGAACGACAAGAUCUACUACUUGAAGCAGGAGAUUGGUACUGAUGGUAAUCAAAGUGAUCAGAUUAGUGUUGAAGAAAAUCAAAGUGAUCAGAUUAGUGCCGAAGAGAAUCAGAGUGAUCAGAUUAGUGUGGAAGACAAUCAGAGUGAUCAGAUUAGUGAUGAAGGCAAUCAAAGUGAUCAGAGUAGUUUUGAAGAUAAUCAAAGUGAUCAGGCUUUUGGAGCUGAGUCUGGCGGUGUUGUCUAGUUGAGAUCUUUGGAGGCAACAGUAUGCUCCAAAAAUCCCUAAUCUCACAGGGCAAUUCCAUUCCCCGCAGUUCUUCUAAGGCAGCAGCAAACUCUUAUUGUGAAAUUGCCGAUCGAUCAGGUAAUCAAACAUUUCCAUUCUCGGAUGGGUGUUAGCAAUGCUGCUUCCUCCAAUUUUAUGUUUCUGGUGAAGGACUGUAUGGAUUGAUCUGAUAGACUGAUAACCCGGGUGAAACUUUAUGGAAAAUGAUUGUACAUACAGAGUUGAUAAGUGUCUCUCUCCAAACUUGAUGCGAUCUCUAAACUAGCAUGCAAAAUUGUACGACGAUUUGUAAGAGUGUUUAACUGUGUUCAACAGAGGAAUUGCUUUUUGUUAUUGCCUGAAAUGUUUUGAAUGUAACUUCACGUAUAUAUUGUCUGCAGCAGCUGCUGGACAAUCAUAGAAGGUGGUCUGUAAACACGUUGUUUUUGAAAAUUAAUCGCUCUUUUCGGUACAUUUUGUGCUGCUGUUGUUCGAAUGUUUUGGCACUUGAGGCAGACAAUUGAUCUGCAAUUAUCCCAAAAUGUAAGGGUCCAGCUCAACAAAACGCAGGGGUAAUUUGAUCAAAGAUGUAAGUUUUGUUAUAUUGACUUUUGAGUAGCAUUGGUAGUGUAAUAAACAAUAUCAGUAACGUUGAAUAAUAAUAAAUUUUACUUGGAUGCCGGCGUGUGUAGUAAGAAUAUGUCCAAAGUGGUUUGGACAACGACAUGAUGGUGCGUUAACUAAUAUGAUCUUAUCACGUGAUGAGAGAUAAAGGAGAGAUGAAUGUAUUCGUGACCUGGAGGUUAUUCUACACGUAAACUUGUAAAGAUAGGCAAACAGGGUGCUUUUUGGUUGAAACGAAAUGCUGAAUUGUUUACUCUUUCUUGUGUAAGAAGAGAAGACUUGUAUCGUAAUCAGGUACUAAUUGUUGUCUUUUGGUCCCACCUUACCUCACACUAUAAAUAAUGGCAUCUAAACCCGAUUAUUCACAGAGAAGCUUUCACAAAAGCAUAAAACUCUUAUAUUUUGGUUUCACUCGCCUCAAACUAGUCUCCCUCGUUGAAAUAGCUAACCUAGUUAGGAACUGUACACAAGUUUCUCUCGUAUCGAAGAAAGUCAAAGAAGUUUUUAGCUCACAAAAGCACAUAACCCCCUAUAUAUUCCAUUUGAAUCACCAUUUACAAAAUUUGUACUAACUUUCCAGUCGAAGAUAGGAUAGUUUCGACAAGUAUUGAACGGCUAAGAUAACUUUAUUUAUUACAUGAAUGGCUAAGAUUAAAAACAAGGGCACGUAGACGAAUACAAACAUCUUCAAUGAGAGGAUCCACCAUUUCUACCAUUGGAAAUUUAAUUUCCUUACAGAAUAGGCGAAAAGUGAAGCGAAAACAAUCGGGAAAGCAAUGAGAACAAUCGCCACGAGGAAUAAACGAUCGUGAUGGAAGCCAUAGUAGUCUUGAAGGAAGGAAGCAACUGUUUUCUGCUCCCCAAAAAUCAAAAUCUCUUUGUUCAUGUCUCCAUAUUGUGAACUGAGGAGGGCAUUUAGGGACCAUGAUGUAGGACAAAUCCAAUAGAACCAAAUCCACCACUUGGGAAUUUUCUGCAUAAAAUAUAUAGAACAUGGUCCGCUAGGCUCACAGUAAACCGUCAUAUUAAGGGUUUAUUUGGCACUGCUUCUUUAGAAAGAACUUUUGCUUAUAAAUUAUAAGCGCUUUUUCUGUAAGUUGUUUAAUAGAGUUAUGUUGCAAAAAAAGCAGUUGGGAGGGCUUCGCAUACUAAAAGCUCUUAAAGUUUUACUACAUAGUCUUUUGGCUUUUCUAGAAGCAGUCUCAAACAGGGCUAAAGACUAAAGAGAGAGUUAGAUUUAGUUACCGGCCCGAGCACAAGGAAGCCGGAAAAAAGAUUCAAUAUGGUGUAGAUUGCCGUUGCGAAAAUGGAAGCUACUUGCAGGCUUGUGCUAAAAGAAGCUAUCAGCAUCCCAAGGUAUACAAAUUAGAGAAAUGUAGAGAAUGUUGCAUGGAAGUACCAGAAAACCUUAGUAGCUGACCAAUAGUACCCUAUUGUAGGGUAUGUAAUAAUGACAUACAGAAUUGCUUGAACCACUUUGUAAGUUAUUUCAAUGGCCACCUACAACAACAUUCAAAAUUUCGACAUGUUAAAAACCUUUCCACUACAAGCUACGUUAUAGUACCAGUUAAAAUGUACGAACCUGUGCAAACGAAUGAGCGUUUGAUGAGUACAUCCCAGCAAAUCUUUCCCGGUACAGAACUGCGCGCUCAGUAGCCACGUAAGGCAGAACCGUCGAGCAAUUGGUUGUGCCCAAAAAUAUUACAGCAAUGUACAGUAACCCAAGCACGUUGAACAAAUCAUGCUCAUUGUUUCUUGAGGAACAAGAAAAACACAGGAUUUAGCGUUGUUGAGCAAAAAUUGUACAUAAUAUGUAAACAAAUAAUUCUCUCGACAUAAUUUCACCCUCGUUCAUUUUUCGAAGAGGGUUUUAUUAGUUUGAGUUUGAUUCAUUCUAGGUUACGCGCCUAUUAAUUACAACCUUUCUUUUGGGAAAGGAAUACCCUUUGAUUCUAAUAUGAAUAAAUCGUAAUUUGAGGAUUUGGGUGUUUAUUUGAUUUUGUGACUGUAUCUAGGUAGAGCCCUAGAUUGCCUACGUACCCUCGUUGAGGGAUCAAAUCACUCGUAGUUCCUUAUGUGUUUUGUUGGGGUUUGACGCCUUGUGCAGUUUCAGCUCAUGCAGAUGAGGAUUUUAAGCCGUUGGAGCUUUAAUAAAUUUGAUAUGGUUUUAUGCCAUUCUGAAAUUUGAUACGGCUUCGUGCCAGUUAACAUAGCUUCGUGCCACUUGAGAUUUUGUUGCGGCUUCAUGCCAUUUGAUAUUUGACUUUUUCUUCGGCUUUACGGCUUCGUGCCAUUGAAUUGGCUUUGAGCCAUUUGAGGCAGCUUUGUCCCAUUUAAAGUGGUUUUAUGCCGCUUAAACGUUGAGUAAAAUUAACAGGUUUAUUUCUGAUAAACCCACUAAUAUUUUGGCAUUUGACUCUGGCUUGGUACCAUUUCUUACUCCAUGUUUAAUUUUACUUUUCCUUUUUCGUUUGCCCUUUCUUCUGACAAAUUUGUAGAGAAUCAUGCUUGGAAUAAAAAAAAAAUUUCCUCUGUUCCUUCAUGGGAUUUACUCCACAAGGGUUUUGUUCAAAGCAGCAGAAGUGAAUUUAGUUUAUACAAACCAGGGAUUCAUCUUGAUUUCUUGGUUGCGUCUAAAAUUUGAUAUCAGACUGCCUACGUAUCCUUAACGGAAUCAAACCGGCGUAGUUCGUAACUUUUGAGACUCAUCGCGGCUUUGUGCCAUUUGAUACUUGAUAUGGAUUCGUGCCAUUUGAAGUUUGACGGAGCCUUGUGGCAUUUGUGUCUUGUAAAUAUUUGUGAUGAACCCACUUUUACAUUGGUAUUUGACUUUGUCUUCCUUUUCAUUUAUUUUGUCUUGGAACCCAUUUUAUUUUGCCUACAAGCCCGUCACUCUAUUGUUGCCCUUUAUUUUUUUGCAUGGUAGCACAAAAAAAAUCCUUGCUUUCAUAUGGAAAAUAUAAAAGCAAGAGUCAAAGCUCCUUUAUUUUUACCAAUGCCUUUUUCAAGCUUUUAAGUCCCUUGCUUUUCUUCUUUCUUUAUUUUUCUUUUGUCAUUGCCGUAUGUCUCCCUAAGAACAACUCCACUUUUGGAGCCCUUUCUCCAUGCAAUCCACUAUUCAAUCCACCAUGUAAACAGUAAUUACCCUUAAUAAACAGUAACUACUUUUGUAUCUCAACCCUUGCACUUGAAUACCCUUGGCAAUAGGCAAUAAAAUAUUAAUUUUUAUAAUUAAUAUUAUAUUAUUUAAUUUGUACAAAUUAAUAUUAUAUUAUUAAUUUAUCUUUUCCAAUCUCUUCCCGAAACUUCUACCAUUUUUGUUUUCUUCUUCCUUCCCACUCUCUCACUCCCCUCUCCCUCAUUGUCUUCUUUUUUUUCUCCGGCCGACAGUCUACCUCCCCUCUCUCUUUUUCUCCCCCAUUUCUCCCUGUUUUCUUCCUCAAACGAGGAAGCUGCGAAUUUUGAGAGAGAGCAGCACCGAACCCACCCGCCUCCCGCCAUGUCUAAAUCCACUGAUGUGUCUUUCUUCCUCCUCAUGGUCCUCUGCGGCCAGGCCCAAAGAGGCCGCCUGCUUCUUUCCGACUUCAACCAAUCAACGUCAUCCGAUCUGAUCUCCGAUAGAGUCCACCACCACCACCGGUCCCACACCCUGGCUCCCUACCUCACUCUCGAGAACGCCCUUUCGGCGGAAGACUCCACCUGCAAGCAGACCUACGUUUUCCUGCCUUGCACCACCACUGUGAUCGACAACCUUUCCUAAUUCCUGACAGAAAAAAAUUAAAAAAAAGGACUGACGCCAGCCUGACGUCAGCCCCUACUCGGGCUGGCAAUUCCUCAUAGACCCUUUGCUCGGGCCUUGGCUGCUGCUUGGGCUUGCUCACGCUGGAGCUGGUCGACAGGGCCUUGGGCUCUUUCUUCUCCCCCCGUCCCUCGAGCAGGAGCUUCCGCUAAAGCUGCUCUAAUGGUUCGAAGAUGAUGGAAUCCAAUUUGAAAUGGCACAAGUUAAAUUUCCAUAAAGAACUCCCAUAACUUUAUUGACCCCUACGUGAGCAACUUUCCAUGUGAGGUGCUGAUUUCAGUUAGCAUUCUUCUUUGAUCUUUUCAAACCCAUUUAAACAUGGGACUUCGAACCUAUCUGACCUAAACUUCUGACCAAUCUGAGAGCAAGCCUUACUCUUUUCUUUGUUUGACUUCAAAGGUCUCCAAAUUCCAAUAAGACUUUAUCCCAUACUUUAAAUGGGGGAACCAUGACUUUCUUUUGUCUUCCACGACUUUCUUUUGUCCUCCACGUGAGUGGUUUUCUUGCUAUGAAGUAAAAGAAGACCACAUCAACAUUUUUUUAACUUUACUUUUGAUUUGACAAAAGCUUUUUGGUCUGGAACUCUUCUUCUCUCCUUAUGAGUUUUAAACAUUUUUUUUUCUUUGUCUUCAACCUUGAAUUUAGCUUUGCCCAACAUUUGACAAUAACUUACUUCAUCUUUGAGGUGCCACGUAUUUAGCCUUUUUUAAAAAAAACAAGCACUUUCUUUUGAGUUUUCUGUUUCCUGCAUGGAUUUGUCUUCACAGGGGUAAAACUAGUCUUCGACUAAAAUCACGAAUCAUCUUUUGCUUGUUGGAGAUUUUUUCUUCAAUUCCUAAUUUAAACAGGAAUUUGAAUGAAACUUGGUCAGUGGCAACUAGCGCCUAUUCUUCUUUGGCUGGGCUUUCUUUGGGUUUCUGUCUCAAUGAAGAACGCCAAAAGUUUUUGAAGAAGACCAUGGCCCGUCGACCGACAGAAGCUUCGGGACCAUAGCUGGGCAUGUUGGGUUCUUGUUCUCCACUUGUUCAAAUGUGCAGAGUGACGGCUUAUUCUCCGUUGCAUCUCUGAAAAGAGGAAGGGAGAUGUCGAAAACUUCUUUAGACACCCAAGAGGCUACAGGAGGUUGUGGGAAGACGAUUUGCUGCUGUGUUUUGAUGAAAUCUCCGUUGGACAUCACAAGUUGCAGGGUGUCGAUGAUGUUGAAGACAUGGCGCAGCUGCUGUCUCUGUUUGGGCUUCCGUCUAACGUCGGCGGUUUAUUGCAAUGUUGCCUUCAUUAGCUAUUUCACACCGCUGCCAUCUUCUUGCUCAAACCUUCGUCAAAUUUGUUGAUGGUCUGGACUGGCGUGCCCAACUACGUCACCUGGUUUCAUCACCUUCGGAUCACGAACUGCACUGCCCUUGGGCUUCUUCCGGAGGACUGACAGAGACGACGGUUGAAAAAUGGUGGUGUUGCCGUAGUGCAGUGAUCACCUAGACCUGGUUGGAACUUCACGGGGUGGUUUAGACCACCCCGAAGAAAUUCAUGGGACUGGGGAUGGGAGAGAAACAAAUUGUUUUUUUUUCUUCUUGCAAAGCCGAGAGAAAGCAUACAAAGAAAGAUUUAGAAGGAUAGAUUUAUACCUUUAAAUGCUUUGUAGCAUUUCCUGCUCUUUGUUCUUGCGGGUAGCACUUGAUAUCUUCUUCUUUUUUCUUCUUUUGUUUCUCUUUUGCCUUUGCUCUCUUGCUUUGCCUCUCAUUCUCUGUUGUCUUCAUUGCGCUUUUCUGUCUCUCAAUUUUUGCAGAGUACCCUUGUCUUUUUUUUUUUUUUUUCUCUUGCUGUAGUUGAUGCCUAUUUAUAGGCAUCCCAAGUAAAGGAUGAUACAUUCCUGAUCUCUUGGGAUUGUUUCCUGUUUCAUCAUGAUUUCCAGAUUUCCCUGUUUUAUUAAAACAUUCCCCUUAUGUAUUCUUUGUAGAUUAAUUAUACUUGUAAAUCAAGUCAUUGUACACUAUUUAAAUCAAUGAUAAUGCACCCUCUAGGGCAUCGAGGGAUUGAGCCAAAAUACCUUCUUUUGAGUUAUCUUUUAUGGUACUCAGAGCCAGUGACUAACGUCUUUUUUUUCUUUUCGGAUUCUUCCUACUCUUCUCCAUGGCUGCCUCAACCAGUUCGACUACUCCUUCCUCCGACAUCUUCCCUUCUGUUUCUCAUGCGAUCUCCAUCAAACUUGACUCUUCCAAUUAUCCUCUUUGGUUGGCUCAGUUGCUACCUGUUCUUCGCAGUCGUCAAUUGUUGGCUUUUGUUGAUGGUACUUCCAUCUGCCCCUCGGCGUUCUUGUCCGACGAUACCGGCAACGCCUCUUCCAAACCCAACCUCGCGUAUGCUGACUGGGUUCAGAAGGACCAGCUUGUUCUUUCUUGGAUCAAUGGCUCUCUUGGUCACCAGGCCCUCGCCGCCACUGCUCGUCAUUCCACUGCCCGUGAUGUUUGGGUUGCUCUUCAGCAGCGUUUUGCUUCUACAAACCAAAGUCGCAUUCUUCAGCUUCGUACUGCUUUCUUCCAGACCAAACGAGGUGAUUCUUCAAUUUCUGACUUUCUUGAUAAGAUCAAUGGUAUUGCCGAUCAAUUGGCCCUUGCCGGGGCACCUGUUUCUGCUGAUGACAUGGUGCCGGUCGUCAUGUCUAAUGUCGGCCCCAAAUUUGAGAACACUGUUGCUGCUGCUCAGGCCCGUGACAACCCCAUCUCCCUUUCUGAUCUUGAGGCUCUUCUUCUCGUUGCUGAACUCCGCCUUGCUGAUCCUCCUGCUCCGCCGGACUCCAGCGUCUCGGCCCUGGUAGCCUCCCGCGGCUCUUCUGCCUUUCAUGGCCGCUCCUCUUCUGAUCGCGGCGGCGAUCGUGGCUCUGGCCGUUUCUCACGUGGGGGUGGUCGUCCUCAACAUGAUGGGUCUCGCAACAAUGGUGGUGACGGCUAUCGUGGCUAUCGCGGUGCUGGUGGUUUCCAUGAUCGUCCGUUUCGCGAUCGUGGUGGUGGUCGUCCUCAGCACGAUGGCUCUCGCUUCCGUGGCUCCAACAAUGCUUCUGGGGUUCUUGGUCCAGCCCCAUAUCACGGUUCCUCCCGUCCUCGCUGCCAUAUUUGCAAUACUUUUGGUCAUGGUGCUCUUGACUGUGCUCAACGUCUUAAUUUGGCUUAUGAAGGUCGUCCUCCUUCUUCCCGUCUCACUGCCUUGACUGCUCAGCACUCCCAGCCUUGGCUCAUUGAUUCCGGGGCAAACUCGCAUAUCACCAAUGAUCUCAAUACUUUGUCUCAGUCCCGUGAUUAUCGUGGUGGUGAUUCCGUCGGUGGUGUCGUUGGCGGUACAGGUUUGCCCAUUAACCGUAUUGGCUCCUCCACUCUCUCUCAUAAUAAUAUUUCUUUCAAGCUUAAUGAUGUUCUUCAUUGUCCGGAUGCUUCUACUUCUGUGUUGUCUGCUAAUCGGUUUAUGUUGGAUAAUAAUUGUUAUAUUACAUUGUUUCCUUCUUGUUUCUAUAUUCAGGAUAUGGAGACGGGGACGAUUCUUUUUUCGGGCAAGAGUAGCAAUGGCUUUUAUCCCUUUUCCUCUUCAUCACCGACUGCUCAUGGUCGUGCUGCUUUUCUUGGUGUUCGUGUUGGUAGUGAUGUCUGGCACUCUCGUUUAGGCCAUCCAUCUUCUUCCAUUUUAAAAUUUCUUUUUUCUAGGCAUUCGAAUAAGUUGCCUGUUUCUGGCAACCUCAAUCUCAAUACUUUUAUGUGUCAUUCUUGUCCUUUAGGCAAAAGUGUUAAGUUACCUUUUUCUGCAUCAUUGUUUGUUACUCAAGCUCCUCUUGAGCUUAUUCACUCCGACGUGUGGAGUGCGUCCAAUAAAUCUGUUAGUGGUUUCCAAUAUUAUGUUCUUUUUGUUGAUAAUUUCUCUCGUUAUUCUUGGAUUUAUCCCAUGAAAUUGAAAUCUGAAGUCUUUAAUAUUUUUACUCACUUUAAGACCUUGGUUGAAAAUCAAUUCUCCACUAAAAUUAAGAUGUUUCAGUCCGAUGGUGGGGGCGAAUACACUAGUCACCAAUUCAAGAAUUUUUUUCUUCACCAUGGUAUUCAUCAUCGUCUCUCAUGCCCUCACCAUCCCGAACAAAAUGGUUUGGCGGAACGCAAACAUCGUCACAUUGUCGACACUGGACUUACUUUAAUGGCCCAUGCGUCGAUGCCUCCUGCCUAUUGGGCUAAGGCCAUGCACACAGCAGUUUAUCUUCUCAAUCGCCUCCCCUCUAAAGUACUUGGUUUUAUGUCUCCUUAUCAAAAGUUGUUUCUUAAGGAACCUGAUUAUAGUUUUUUAAAGACCUUUGGGUGUGCAUGUUUUCCCCACCUACGACCCUAUAAUAAUAAUAAACUCCAGUUUCGUUCUACUAAAUGUGUUUUUCUUGGUUACUCUCUCAAUCAUCAAGGUUCUCGGUGCUUAGACAUCUCUACUAACCGCAUCUUUUUAUCACGCCAUAUUGUGUUUGAUGAAGGUAAUUUUCCUUUCAAGGCCAUCUCUGGCUCUCUUGCCCCAUCCUCCCCGGCCUCGUCUCCUCCUCCUGUUUUAGAAAUCACUGGGCCUCUUCCGCAUGCCCCCCGACCGUCUAGCAGCCAACCGGUGGUUGUGUCCCCCUCUUUGGAGACUCAUCAAUCCAGUCCAUCAUCCGACCCACCACAGCCGGCCCUACAGGUUUACUCCCGUGACCCUCACAGGCGGGUUCUUUCUUUUGCACAAGCAGCAACCCCAUCUGUCACUCCCAGGCCCACGCCUGCUGUUGCCUCUGCAGUUCAACCUGAUGCGCCUCCCGAGGCUCCAUCUGCUGCUGUACCACCUGCCGUGCCCUCUACUUCCCAUGGUAUGCUCACUAGGUCCAAAACGGCUUCUCUUAAGCCUCAUAAAUAUGUUUUUUCUGCUGCCAUUUCUUCUUCUACCGGUCCUAUUGAGCCUACUUGUUUUAGUCAGGCCAACACUUUUCCCGAAUGGCGUACUGCGAUGGCCGAUGAAUUUAAUGCACUUCAACGUGCUGGUACUUGGACUCUUGUUCCUCGUACCGCUUCUAUGAAUAUUUUGCCAAACAAAUGGGUGUUUCGUAUUAAACAGAAUUAUGAUGGGUCUAUUCAGCGGUAUAAGGCUCGUUUGGUAGCCAAUGGUUUUCAUCAGCAACCCGGCCUUGAUUAUGGUGAAACUUUUAGUCCUGUUGUCAAUCACUCUACUAUUCGCUUAAUUUUGGCUCUUUCAGUUCAGUUUCAAUGGCCUGUUCGUCAGUUGGAUGUUCAGAAUGCUUUUCUUCAUGGCUCUUUGUCUGAGGAGGUCUAUAUGCACCAACCUCGUGGCUUUGUUGAUCCACAGUUCCCUCAUCAUGUGUGCCGCCUUCGUCGUUCUUUAUAUGGGCUCAAGCAGGCGCCCCGUGCAUGGUUCCAAUGUUUUUCCACUCAUUUGGAAGAUUUGGGUUUUCGUCCCUCUACUGCGGAUCACUCGCUUUUUACCUAUAUUCAUGGCUCUACUCGCAUUUAUCUCUUAAUUUAUGUUGAUGAUAUUUUGGUCACCGGGAAUAAUCCCUCAUAUUGUCACCCUCAUUAAGAAUUUGGGCAUCCGUUUCUCUAUGAAGGACCUUGGACCGGUUCAUUAUUUCUUAGGCAUGGAGGUGGUCCGCACUCCAUCAGGUCUCUCUCUUUCCUAACAAAAGUAUGCCACUGACCUACUUCACCGCACCAAAAUGCAUGGUGCUAAGCCGGUUCCUACUCCUGCCGUUAGUGGGCGACGGCUCAGUCUUCAGGAUGGUGACCCUCUGCCGGAUCCUAUUGAAUACCGAAGUGUUGUCGGCGCCCUUCAAUACUUGACUCUCACUCGUCCCGACAUCAACUUCGCCGUCAACCAAGUCUGCCAAUUUCUUCACCAGCCGACUUCUACUCAUUGGGCCGCCGUCAAACGCAUUCUUCGUUACCUUGUCGGCACUACUUCUCACGGUCUUACCUACAAGCCUGGUUCCUUUCGUCUUACAGCAUUUUCCGAUGCCGAUUAUGCCGGGAUCCUGAUGAUCGGCGUUCCACCGGGGGCUAUUGCUUGUAUCUGGGUUCCAAUCUUGUCUCAUGGAGUGCCAAGAAACAAAAUGGGGUCUCUCGGUCCAGCACUGAAGCCGAGUAUCGUCAACUUGCAAUCACCGCUGCCACUCUUUCAUGGUUUCGUAUGCUGUUCCGUGACCUCCAGUUUCCUCUACAUUGUCCUACACUGUUUUGUGACAAUAUCAGUGCUAUAUCCCUUGCUUCCAACCCGGUGUUUCAUGCCCGCACUCGGCAUGUUGAGGUGGAUUACCAUUAUGUUCGUGAAAAGGUUGUUCGCAAGGAGAUUGAUGUUCGUUAUCUUUCUACUCAUGAUCAGAUUGCUGACUUCUUCACCAAGGGCCUUUCUCUUCCUCGUUUUCGACUUCUGGUUUCCAAGCUUCCUGUACUUGAUUGUACUGUCAGCUUGCGGGGGCGUAAAGGAUGAUACAUUCCUGAUCUCUUGGGAUUGUUUCCUGUUUCAUCAUGAUUUCCAGAUUUCCCUGUUUUAUUAAAACAUUCCCUUUAUGUAUUCUUUGUAGAUUAAUUAUACUUGUAAAUCAAGUCAUUGUACACUAUUUAAAUCAAUGAUAAUGCACCCUCUAGGGCAUCGAGGGAUUGAGCCAAAAUACCUUCUUUUGAGUUAUCUUUUCCCAAGAAGGCUCUAGAAUUUGUUACGUGGGGGAAGAUGGAGACCAUGACCUCCUGCCACUUUCUGUUAACCCCCUUUUCUGACUCCACGUUUCUUUUUGUUGCAGAAAAUGGGGGAGCACCUGUUUUUUGCACGUUACUUCCCCCCUUAUGUAGGAAAAAAAUUAUAAAUUUUUUAUUUAUUCCUGAAUGUAUUUGUAUGUAAAGCUCAUCCUCAUCUUUUGGGUUGGAUUACAUUUUUGUUUUACCUUGAAGUUUGACUCAAUUUGAAUGGACUUUAUUUUUUCAUAUUUUUUUUGUUCAACAAGCGUAGUUUUCUUUUUCUUUUUCUCUGUGAAAUAUAUAGUAUGAAGAGGGUGGAAAUGGGUCGGGGCUUACAUUUCCUUCACUUUCUGCCAAAAGAUUGUUCCGAACCACACUGAUAGAGCGAAAAUAAACGCGAAACGUGCUAGAUUGUACUUUGGACUUCUCCAGUGGGACAAGUGUUGUUUCCACAGACAUGCCUUAAACUGCACCCAGCUAUUUUGAGCAAAAGGAGUGGGAAGGUUCAAGCCCCUUGAACCCGGCUUUGGUUCGCUCAACCGGCUAACCAACUCGACCGUGUCUCUCUGAAAAAGAAGGAAACAAACAUAUAAAUUUGAUGAUUGAAAUAAAUACAUGAUUAAUCCUAAAAUAAUGGAAAUAUUAGAGAUAUGCCCUUACCUAUACUGAGUAGAGGGUUUAUAAAUUUCAGCAAAAUCUAAACAAAGUUUUGCCUCUACUGAGGCAGAAGUAACUUCUAACAUCCAAGUUGCUGGAUUGUAAUUUUCUUUGAUCUUUGGUACAUCACGAAUAUCCUCAAAAUAUUUGACGAGUUUACUCGAGUGAUGACCGAGAACUCCAGAAUAGAUGAUUUGGCCUCCCCUUUUCAUCAAAAGUAACUGCAAAAAUCAAUGUCUUCCGUUAGUGAUCGAGUGGCUUUUAUGAUUUGGUUUAGUUUUCUUGGACUCCAUGACAAUGCUCGUUAUACUACCUCGUCAAAUGACUGAAAAAUAUCAAUGCUUGGCUUGUGGAUUGUGCAAACAGUUGUCCUUCCUGUGGAAACAACAUUCUUUACUACGCAAAUGGCAAUUGCAGCUGCUCUGGCGUCUAAGCCUGACGUAGGUUCAUCCAUAAAUAUUAUUGAUGGGUUGGAUACAAGCUCCACUGCAAUUGUUAGCCUUUUGCGCUGUUCAGUAGAUAGGCCAGUUUGUCCAGGAAUGCCAACUAAGGAAUCUCUUAUAUCCUCCAGUUCAAUCGUUUGAAUGACUUCCUCCACAAAUUUCUGCAUAGAUUAAGCAAAGGAUACUUUCUUUUAUAUGUUCCAGGAAAUUUGCAUAUUAUUGAUAAAUUGAAAGAAUAUCAUCCUACAGCUUUUAUGUCUGGAUCAGUUUCGUGUGGCAACCUCAACCAAGCUGAGAACAUAAGCGAUUCUUCUACCGUGAUCUGUGGAGAAUGUAUAUCAGUCUGCUCGCAGUAUCCUGAUAUUCUUGCAAAUGUCUUCUGGACCUUGGGGUACCCUCCGAUUCUUAUAUCUCCCACGAUACUACCUCCUGUUUCCCUUCCAGAAAGAACAUCCAUGAGAGUUGUUUUUCCAGCCCCAUGCGGUAGGAAUUCCUGGACUGAAUGCUCCUGUUAUAUCUUUAAGCAACUGAAGCUUUUUCUCCUUGAAAGCAUGCUGUCUCAUUUCCUUUUUUAAGAAGGAAUGAAGUUAAAAUACAACUAAAUAGUUUUCCAAUGAUACUAAUAUGUGAAAAUUGACUAAUGAUUUGAUUAAUUACCGGAGGUGUAUCAACAUAAUACUGCACGUCCUUAAAUGAGAUUGUCAGUGGCUCGAACGGCAGGACCAUUCUCCCUGUUUAACAAAUUGAUUUACUCUCGAAUAAUUCAGUUGUUAAAAAAAUUCCUUGCUCGUUGCUUUGAAUGGAAAAUGUGAAACUGAUAACCCGGAUAAACUGGAUGCAACAAUUCAUCUCACCUAGUGUUAUCUUUUCUCCCAUGGUUUUGAAUAAAUCGGAUAGAGUUGAUUCAUUUUCCAACGGUGCACCAGUUUGGGUUAAUAUUUAACAUUGGGCUUAUAGGAGAGAAAGCCCAAAAGAGUUCAAUAAGAAGAGUUUCGUCCGAAGCCCAGCACCAAGCCCAGACCGUCCAUCUCAAGACCAAUUGGCACUCUCCUAUUAAUGCAAAGGCUAAGUGCUUACAAGAGAAGUGACAACUGAUGAAAAUCAACCUACUCUCAGCCCAAAAGUACUUUUCAGUGGCAAUACAAGUAAAAUAUUGAUGAGUCACUACCAUUCAAUUGCUUUUGGGUAAGAACAAAGCUACAAGCGGUCGGACUAAUUCGUUUAUAAAAGGAGGAAGAGGGCUCAGAGACAAGGACACUCAAUCAAUCAAACAUACAACUUGUCUCUCAUCCAAGCAAAUACCCAGAAAGCUGUGCUUUGUCCAGACUCUGCACCCUUUUAGCCUUAGAUUUCCUUAGAAAGACAUCUUUUUUCUAUGUAAAAGCUCUGCUACAUUUUUCUAAAUGUUGUAGUAUCGAUCCCUCGUGUAUAAACUCGUUUCCAGUCAUCUCCUUUAGUACUCAAUUCUUUUGUAAACUGCAAAGAGAAGAGAUCGCAAGGCGUUUAACCUUGCUUGACAAAGUGAAAUCUUGCCCAACUCUCUUUGUUUUUAUCUUUCAAUUAACAAAUAUGGUGUUAUAAUGUAUUCCGUAGUUUAUAUUCAAGUUAUUUCCAGUCCUUUGAUGACCCAAAGCCCCAUCAGUUCUCAGAUCUGGUUCACUUAGUGGUUUUAUCAAGAAUUGAAAUGAAUUAAACUGAUGACUUGAUCAGAUCUAAGCCUUCACCCCUCAAGCAUACAAAAUAACUAAAAGUCUUUGAUCUCAAGGCAUAGAAAAUAACUUAAUGUAGACUUAAUCCAUCUACAACAAUCCUUUGAUAAACAAGAAGUCAGAAAUAACUUGGGGUGCAAGUAAUCGGCUUAAAACACACUUGUUCUACAUCUGCCAUACAGAGAUGGCAGUGGCACGCCUAAGCACCUAGUUAGUUUUGAAUGCGAGCCUCAAGGCCUAUACCUAAGGCCCCACAAAGGCACCUUUCAGAACUAACUUUGUUUUCCUCUUGCAGUAUUGUGACAAGCAGGAGCCCAACAAUCAACCAAAGUGCCAACUCCUCGGGCAGCUGUGUGCUCGAGCCAGGAACGCCCACCAACCAGAUUUCCUGCCCAAAAAGCACCAGUUUUGCGAGCUCCCCUUCUUCAAAGUUGAGAUAAUCUUUUUUUCGAAACAAUAGCCCGAUACACCUUUGGAGCUGUAUGAGGAAAAGCUUAAGUAAACUGAUGUGGAGCUGUAUGAGGAAAAGCUUAAGUAAACUGAUGAAGUGGAUUGUAAUACUUAAGUUAUCAUCUGUCAAUUAAAAUGAAUCUAAGUAAGUUAAUGCUAAAAUAAAUCCAAGAUCAGACAGCAUUGUGAACCCGAGUAAUGCUCCUACUGAUAUCCAAUAGAAAUAGCCAUCAAAGUUCAAACCAUGCCUGGUUAGAACUUUAUUCCCUAGGGUUGUGUUUCCCUCUGAGACCUAAAGAAAUGAAUUAACACUGUCAAAACACUUAUUCGACUUCGAUGAUCGGGUACUAAAAAAGUUUAUCAUCUUGAGUUGUACCUUUUGCCAGCGAGGAGCGAGGAACUCGUUUAGAGUUGUACCGAUUUCCCCAUAAGUCAUAGGUGAACACCAGAAUAGUCAACGCAACCAAGGAGGUAAAGAGGCUGCAAAACACCCCUUAUUAGUCUAGUUGUAGUUGAAUGUAACUAAAGGAAAAAUACGAUAAAUGGACUUACAUCGUGGCAAGAUGAAGCCUCCGGAUAAAAACAUUAGCACUAGGAUUAAAAUACCGCAAGUUGAUGCAACAACCAUAGUUUGGAAAACUACAGCAAUUAAACGACAUAUGGAUGUCGAUGCUUGAUGGAGAGCAAAUAGCACAAGGAACUGGAAGAAGAACCUAAAAACCAUAGCAUAUUCUUGAGGCAUUAUUAUGAUUAUUGUUCAAGCCUUUCAUGUUCUGUCGUGUGACUAUAAAGUUGAGAUCUUACGUUUUUAUGUCUGGAGCGUACCCAAUCAAAUGGUAAGUUAUUGCUGUCCACAGCAGUGAAUCAAUCACUGAAAAUGGAACCUUCAGGAUAGACUGGAAGAGAAUACGCCCAUGCUGGAUACAGAUUGAAUCCUCUUUGCUUGUAAACCACUGGUAAUCUAGUAACAGUCACAGCUCUGCAAUUCCGUUGGUCAUAAGUCGAAUAAGUGUAUAAAACAAUGAGUUCAUAAAAAAACUUGCAUUUAUCAAAUCCACGGUCCUACGGGUGCUUAUACAGAUUGCCAUUGUAAUAAAUGCAGUGAUGACAAGCUGUGGGAAAAAAAGAGAGAAAAUAUAGUAAGUGAUUUUGAGUUUAACUUCAGAAGUACAACCCCUAAAAGUGAUAUCAUUAGGCAGUAAACCUGAGCUGUUUUGAAUACGUAGAGAAAGGAAUUCCGUUUCAUGAGAAGAAGCUCUCGGGCCAUACAACCUUUGAACAACUCCCAUUUGCUCACAGAGUAAGUACUAAAUGAUAAGGCAUUAUCAUGGCACUGUGAUUUAUUGUAUGGUUUUGAGAGCUCAUCGUCUAAUUUCUUCCCCGAGUAACUUGCUCUGAAAAGUUCAAAAAAUUUGUUUGCAGAAACAUGACCGUAGGGAAUGUUAUCAUGCUUCCAGUAUUGUGCUUGAUCCUUCUUUGAGAUCACCUCUUGAAGGAAAUCUGCAGCACCCUUUCUUGGUGGGCACUUGAAACCAGAGUCUUCGAAAAACUCAACUGCGUGGCUGCGAUGACCGUGGUAAACUAUCUUCCCCUCUGCCAUUAGUAUUACAUCAUAAAAAAUAUCAAUGGUCUCGGGUGCUGGUUGGAGAAGUGAUACCAAUGCAGUUGUAUCUGUGAUAUGCACCAGCUGCUGAAGAUAGGUAACUAUCUGAAAGGUUGUAGAACUGUCUAAUCCCGUUGAUAUCUCAUCCAUAAAAAGAGCUUUUGUAGGACCUACAAUCAUUUCUCCUGAAGAUUAAACAGAAGAGGAAUGUUAUGUUUGAAACAUUUUUCUACAUGGGAAUUAGUAAUUACAUUCAAAUUUCCCUCGGAUUCAAGAUUUCACUACCGGUUGUCAGCCUUUUCUUCUGGCCACCAGAAAUGCCUCUUCUUAAUGCAUCACCAACCAUUGUGUCACUCACUACACAUACCCAGUCCAAGUAUCUAAAGAGAUUCCAAAAUAUCGUAAUUCAUUUUUCCUGUCCGAGUGAGUUAGAAAUGUCACGUUUGAACUACUUAAUGUCAGCAUUGUCCAUGUCCAACACUGGUUGGAGAAAAAUUUACCUUCAAAACAUAAUCGGUUUGGAGAUUUUCCCUUUGUCCUUCAACUGAAAUGGCCUGUGAGUAUUAUGUAAAUCUCUAAAACCUCUAACACAAAAGGGUGGUAAGAUUUACUAAAAGGAAUGUUAUGAGACUUUACAAUUACCUUCAUGUAGGUGUCAAUAUCUGGAUCGGGGACUAUUCCUGCUUCUUUUUCCCUUCUGCUGAGCUCCAUUAUUAUAUAUGCAUAAAAUACGAUCGAAAUUAAACUUCAUACGUCAAUAGAAGUACACGACUAACCCAAUAGUAAAUGCAAUAGGGGAUAAGGAAUAUGCACCAGCUCUACUGCCAACACCCUGGCAGCGGGAGGAAAAGUCAAUUGUUUCCCUCAGUCAUCUCAGGCAGGUGAAGGUCAUGCUGGCUAAUGUAAGCUGAUGUUUUUUGGGGAACAAACUCAUCUAGCUUGUAACCAUUAUAAGUGUUGUAAACUGAAAUAGAAAGGAACGAAGUUACCUAAAAAAAUGUAGAAGCCUUGAGUGGUGAAUGAUUAUUGGGAUGAGUUGCGGACUAAGUCGCUUUCUUUAAGACGUUUCGCGGCUCUACCCAAAGUGUGCAAGCAGUUCACAAACACCACAUCGUCCUAGGAUAAAACAGCCCAAAACCUUCUUCUUCUUCUUCUGAUAAAGUUCUUCCUUGUACAGUAGAAGAACCUUCGAAUUCACAUUCUCUCAAUAUGUUGCUAACCAAAACUAUAUAUUAGAAAAUAUAUCUUCUUUUUUUUCCGCAUACUUUCAAUGAUCCAGGGACUACUAUAUAUACAUUUAGACGAAAGAGAUGUUGAGGGUUUGAGAAAAUUGAAAGCAGGACAAAAUCAAAACGUAAGUCAAAUAAAACGGUUUGAUUAUGUAUCAUGACAUGAUCUUCUUCUCUAUACAAAGAAGGAAUGGCACGUUUCAAACUUAAAAGGAGAUAACUCCUUACCUAAUUGAAAAGUCAAAAUCAAUUGGCAGUUAUGCAUAGAAUAUUGGUAAUAAAACAAAACGUUAUGUAUAUAAUAUUGGUAAUAAAAUAAAACAUAAAUAUAUUUAAAUAUUUAAAUAAAAACAUAUUUACUCAACAAUCCCCCACUUGUUUUUGUUUAAAACUAUACAUCAAGCAAUAUAUCGUAAAGCUAUACAGAAGUAAAUGUGUUUCUCAACUUAAAUCUAUACAUAGUGUUAGUGAUCGAGAUUAUACUAGAGUAACUUAUAGUUUUGAACUCUAUCCCUAACAACACCACACACACAACUUUAUUAAGGUGAAGUUCAAAAAGCCAGCACAUUACAACCAUGUGCUUGUAUCCCAGUAUAGUGAACGCUCUAGAAACUUGCUCAAGAUUUCAUAGGAAGCGGCAUCACUUCCACAUUCACAUAGUUAAGACUAUCAAGGUAUUCCUGUAGCUAGAUAUCUCACUUAACAUAGAGUAUAGACCUUACUAAGAGAAAAAAAAAUCUCAACCUAAAUACGCUUCAGGAUGUCAUGCUUCUUAGGGAUGGACAUGGAAUAAUAUUCCAAACUAAAAUUAGCAAGACUUCACUCUUAUCACUUGUGACUUGUUAUUACCCUUUGAACCUAUUUCUUGGGAUCUCUAGUCUAUAGGUUGGGUUGCUAUCACAAAUAACUCAAUUCUCUAGGGCUUUAGUCCCAUCCCUUUCGAGGUUUUCCAAACCUUUUCUCGUGCUAGUCCUUUUGUCAAAGGAUCAACCAAGUUUUCUUCAUACCGUAUAUGAUCCACUCUCACAGCUCCAUUAGACAGGUAAUCUCUUACAGUGAUGUGCUUACGACGUAUUUGUCGCCCUUUCCCAUUAUAAUAAUGAUUUUGCACUUUAGCUAUUGCCGAUGUGCUAUCACAAUGGAUCAAAACUGCUGGAAUCGGUUUCUCCCAUAAAGAGGUAUCUGACAGUAGGUUUCUCAACCAUCCUGCUUCUUCGCUUGUCGUAGCUAGCGCUAUUAAUUCUGACUCCAUAGUGGACUGAGCCAUGAUAGUAUGUUUCUUAGACUUCCAUGAUACAACCCCACCACCAAGACUAAAAAUACAUCCACUAGUGGCUUUAGAGUCAUCUGAAAGGGUAUUCCAAUCAGCGGCACUGCAACCUUCUAGGACAGCGGGAAACUUCUCAUAGUGUAAUCUAAAAUUCAUUGUCCUUUUAAGGUAUCUCAUAAGCCUAUCUAUGGCAUGCCAAUGCUCCAAACUAGGUCUACUAGUAAACCUGCAUCAAACUCCUACGACAUAAGAUAUAUCAGGCCUAGUGCAAUCAGUAGCAUAACGAAUGCUACCAAUAAUACUCGCAUACUCAGAUUGUUUAACACUGUCACCAAUGUUCUUGAACAAUUUUACACUAGGAUCAUGAGGAGUACAUGCUGGUUUACAAUCAAAAUAAUUAUACUUUCUUAAAAUUGUUUCUAUGUAGUGAGAUUGAUCUAAAGAAAACCCAUGUUCAAACCUAGUUAUUUUCAAACCAAGUAUUACGCUAACUUCACCCAAGUCUUUCAUAUCAAAAUUAGCAGAUAACAAAGAUUUGACAUUAUUCACAACAUGAAUAUUCGAACCAAAAAUAAGCAAAUCAUCCACAUAUAGGCAUAUAUUACUUUCAGACUUAUAAUAGAUGCAUUUGUCACUUUCAUUUAUUUUAAAACCAUUUGAAGUAACCAAACUAUCAAAUUUUGCAUGCCAUUGUGUGGGAGCCUGUUUCAAUCCAUAAAGUGACUUAUUUAACUUGCAAACUUUAUUUUCUUUUCUUGGAAUAAUAAAACCUGUGGUUGACCCAUAUAUAUUUCUUCCUCUAAUUUACCAUUUAAGAAAGCUGUUUAACAUCCAUUUGGUGCACAACAAGAUCAUGAAUAUAAGUUAAGGCAAACAAUACACGAAUAGAUGUUAUUCUAGUCACAGGUGAACAAAUAUAAAAGAAAUCAAUCUUUUCUCUUUGUCUAUAGCCUUUGGCAAUAAGUCGGGCUUUAAAAUUUUCAACUGAUCCAUCAGGUUUUAAAUUUUUUUUAAGAAUCUAUUUGCAACCUAUUGUUUUGCAACCAGGUGGAAGAUCCACCAAGUGCCAAGUUUGAUUUGACUCCAGGGAGUCCAUUUCAUCAUUUAUAACUUCUUGCCAAAAAAUUGCAUCUAAAGAAGUUAAAGCUUCUUGAAUUGUAUUAGGAUCUUCUUGUAAGUUAUAUACAUGGAAAUCAGGGCCAAAAUCUUUAGCUAUUCGAGCUCUUUUACUUUUCCUAGGUUCUAAUGCAGAUUGACUAUGUUUUACAACAUUAGGUUCAUAAAUUUUAGAAGAAUUAGAACCCCCACUAUUUUGAAGAUUAAAAGGAAAUUUAUUCUCAUAAAAAUCAGCAUCAAGUGACUCAAUUAUGACAUGGUUUUUCAAAUCAUAACAUCUAUAUGCUUUGCUAUUACAUGCAUAACCAAUAAAAACACAUUCAUAUGCUCUACUAGCCAAUUUCGAUCUUUUUGGACCAAGUUUACGAACAUAAGCUAAACAACCCCAAGUUUUGAAAUACAAUACAUUUGUUUUCUUAUUUUUCCAAAUUUCAUAAGGAGAGAUAUUCGAUUCUGAGGUAGGAAUUCUAUUUAAUACAUAACAUAUAGUCAACACAAUUUCACCCCACCAAUAAGAAGCAGCUCCAGAACUAAGUAGCAACACUCAAUUCGCAAAGAGUUCGAUUUUUUCUUUCCGCUUUACCAUUCAUUUCAGGAGAAUAAGGAGCAGUAGUUUCAUGAAUAAUUCCAUUAGACUUAAACAAAUUAACAAAUUCAAUGGAUUCAUAUUCUUGUCAUCUAUCACUACGAAAUCUUUUAAUCUUAUGAUUAAACUGAUUUUCAACUUCAGUAAAGAAAGUUUUGAACAUGUCAAUAGCUUUACUUUUAUUUUUCAUAAGAUAGACAAAACAGUAAUUCAAACAAUCAUCAAUAAAGGUAAUAAAAUAACGUUUUCCAUUUCUAGUUAACACUCUAUCAAAUUCGCAUAUAUCAGAAUGAAUUAAGUCAAGUGGUUCAGAUUCUCUAUUGACAGAUUUAUGUGAAGUUCUAGUGAUUUUAGCUUGACUACAAUAUUCACAUUUUUCAAAAUCAGUCAACGAUAAGUUAGGUAAAAAGCCUAAGUUACUCAUGUUCUUAACCAAGAGUUUGUUAACAUGACAAAGUCUAGCAUGCCAAGUAUUAAAAGAAGACAACAUGUAAUCAGAAGUAGACAUUUUAUCAACAUUCAAUUUAAACAUUCCAUUAGUAGCAUAUCCCUUUCCCACAAAAACCCCAUUUCUAGUAAGAGUAUACGUAUUUGCUCCAAACGUUUGAGUGAAUCCAGCCUUGUUGAGAAGUAAGCCUGAGACCAAAUUCUUCCUUAUUGUUGGAGCAUGCAUCACAUCUUUCAGUAUCAUGGGUUUUCCAGAGGUGAACUUUAACUCCACCUCUCCAGUACCAGCAACAUCAGUUGAGUGCGAAUCACCCAACAACACAUUUCUUCCCUCAGCCAUAGAAUAGGUCUUGAAAAGAGAACGAUCGUAGCAAGCAUGGGGAGAAGUGCCAGUGUCCACCCACCACCCACCACCCCUCGGACUAAGUUGAUUUCUGAUAUCAUUGCAAUUAGUUGCUCUUCAACAAGAUUUGUUUGAGAAGCAAAGUUUUCCUUAUAAUGCAUGGCAGAUUGAAUUCAUCUUAAAAUUGUUGUAAACUGAAAUAGAAAGGAACGAAAUUACUCAAAAAAAAUGUAGAAGCCUUGAGUGGUGAAUGAUUCUUGGGAUGAGUCAGGGACUAAGUCACUUUCUUUAAAACAUUUUGCGGCUUUGCCCAAAGUGUGCAAGCAGUUCACAAACACCACGUCGUCCCCAGGAUAUAACAUCCCAAAACCUUCUUCUUCUGAUGAAGUUCUUCCUUGCACAGUGGAAGAACCUUCGAACUCACACUCUCUCUCAAUAUGUUGCUAACCAAAACUAUAUAUCAGAAAAUAUAUCUAUUUUUGUUCCGCAUACUUUCACUACUAAAUAUACAUUUAGACGAAAAAGACGUUGAGAGUUUGAGAAAAUUGAAAGCAGGAAUAAAACGGUCUUAGGUCCGAUUCUCGCCGAAGGCGAAUUUGAACCACUAAACCGUAGCACUAAGUGGCUCCUAACAAUGUCUCUUAACAAGUUUAGAGGUAUUUGUCUUCACUAAUAAAUGAAAAGCGUUUGAAUUUCAUGAAUGACAAGUGCAAUACAAAAUUCAAAUUAUCAUGGUUCUUCCAUUAUAUGAUUUAACCAAAGCAUACCAUCUCUUAGUGUAAAUAUAUCAUUGAACUAUCAUUGAAGUAGUUCCAACAUUCGUAUACCAUCUUAAUUAUCAAUUUACUAUUACAAAAUUUCUAUUAAUUUUUCUUUACAAACUAAAGUGUUAUUAGGCUAAGUUGUUAAAUAUUAGGAGAUGAGUAGGGAUCGACCCACCGCCAAAGUACAUAUAUAGGUAUUACUGUUUUCUGCUACUAUGAUAAAGUGUAAUAUACUUCUAUAUAUUAAAAGAAAAUUCACUGAUACAUUUCCACAUGUAAACAUUCAACAUUGGACAUAUAUAAUAUUUUUCCCUACUUCUUUGGAAAUUUAAUUUUCCAAUGCAAUAGGCAAAUAGGGAAACAAAGACAAUCCCAACUGGGAAAGCAAUGAGAACAAGAGCCACAAGGCCUAAACAAUCAUGGUGGAAACCAUAAUAAUCUUGUAGGAUUAUUUUCUAUUUAAAAAACGUAUGUGAACAUACACAUUAUUUUCUAUUAUAAUAUGUGUAAGUUUAUGAAGGGAAAUAUUCACUAAAAUGAUCAAAAAUCAAAUUCUGAUGCCAAAACAAAAUCAAAUAUUGUCAUACUGAAAAACUAAUCAUUUCAACAAAUGAGAUUCAAAUAUUUGAUUAUUUUGGCCAAUUUUCCUGUAUUGAUACCCUAACCUAAAGUAUAAAUUACUUGCACAUCCAAAUUAUAACACAUGAAUUAACAACACUCCGUCAAUUAGACUUGUGUUACAUGUAUUUACACGGUUAUUGUCAUUCCAAGUGCUCAAAUGCUAAUGGAGUUACACAAAACCAUCAAAUAUUAGAAAAGAUUGGAUUCAAGAUAUACUAAGUAUAAUGUACAGAAUGUUGCAUAUAAAGUACCAGAAAACUUUAGUAGGUGACCAAGAGAACCCUAUUGCAGGAUAUGCAACGGCUACAUACAAAACUUGUAACAUUGUAUAAUGUAUUUUAAUGGCAACAUGCAACAUUUAACACUUUACACUAUAUUUGGAUGAGGAAGUUUAAGAUUGCUAAGGAAAUUUAAAGUAACGGAAAUUGAAAUGAUGGAAUUUUAUUUUAUAGAAUAUGUGAAUUUUCUUGUUUGGUUGAGGAAAAUAAACUUGGAAUUUAGAUAAAAGUCAGAAUUUGUAAAUUGACAUGCACCAGUUUCCUUGUUUGGAUUCAUAAACAUAUAUAGGAAUUUAGAAUUUUCGGGUGAAAAAAAAACUUGGAAUUUGGGACCUCCAAUUCCCAAGUUUAAAUUCCAUGUAAAUAUGUAUCAUUUCCCAAUUUCUAUGAUUGAGUGCUUAAAAAUAACAAAUUCCGUAAUCAAUUCCAUUUAUUUUUAGGUUAACCAAACAAGAGAAUUCACAAAUUCUAGAAAAUAAAAUCCUGUCAAUUCAAUUUCCGUCAUUUUAAAAUUCCUUAGUAAUCUUAAAUUUCUUCAUCCAAACAUAGUGUUAAGAACAAUGGAAUUUGAAAUGAAAUUUGUUAUUUUAAACCCUCAUUCAUGAAAAUUCAGAAAUGACACCAAUUUACAUAGAAUUUAAAAUGGGAAUUAGAUGUCCCAAAUUCCAAGUUUUUUUCUCAUGCAGAAAUUCUAAAUUUCUAUGUUUAUGAAUCCAAACAAGAGAAUUGGUACAUGUUAAUUUUUAAAUUCCAGCUUUUAUCAAAAUUCCAAGUUUAUUUCCCUCAUCCAAACAUAGUGUUAGUUUAAAACUGUGAAGAUUUUGAUUUAUCGAUUACAAACUAAAUAAGUACUUGAAUUCUUAGGCACUUCAACGUAUGAACUUGUGCAAAUGAACAAGGUCGGCCCUGAGAUUUUGAAGGCCCGAGCUAAGCUACCAAAUAGGAGCCCUUUAAUUCUUAGGCACUCCAAUUGGUUGUAGGUUCAUAUACAUUUUAUUUUUAUAGUAAAUACUCAUUAAUUUAUUAUUAUAUCGUACUCUUAUUUAAUUAAUAAUCAACAAUAUGCUAAAGUUUUAAGAAGGUGUUUGGACCCAAAAUUACAUCAUCGGCCCGUGCAAUCAAGGCCGUUGAGUAGGCAUAGCUCUCAAUCGUCGGAUAAAAAAGCAGAGAUAAUUUUGUUAUUAAAGGAUAAUAUUAUGGUUUUUAUCAUAAUUAUCUUUUAAUGAUUUAUCUCGACAUCUUCUUAUGAAAGAGGGAAAAUAUAUCUCCAAGCUGGAAACACGCAGCACAAUUCAAAGCGAUUUGGAUGUUUGGCGUGUGGAUGUGGUUUGGAUCGGUUUUAGUUGACAAAUAUGCAUGCAUGUGAUAAGGGUGAAGUAAAAAUGGUGAUAUGCUUUGAAAAUGAGUCUACAUGUGUUGGUGAUAAGAUGGCAGCAACUGCCUUGCUGACAAUUAACAUUGGGUAUUUUAUGCUAAAUCAUGCAUAUUGGUAUAUGCUUUUGUAUUGUGGGCCAGCAUAUGUUUUUUUUUUAUGGAGCCAAAUUCAUUUAACAAUGGAUAUUUGGAACAAUAAGAAGUUUAAGUAGGCAUAGGCCUUUGAGAGUUUGAGUUUCAGUUGGUUUCUACGAAAUCAUCAAGGCCACGCCAAGCGGGAUCAUGCAUAUUUGAAAGAGAAUAUUCCUAUUAUUUUGCAACUUACGACGGCAAUCUUACGGUUAUAGAGGCAAUGACAACAUAAAGGUGGUAUUUCGAAUUCAACACACAAACUGCCAUGCACAAACUCUUGCUCUACGCGAAACCUCUUAACAACCUUGAGAUUUUUAUUUUCCUUUUUCGCCAACACAUCUUCAGUUUGGAUAAAUAGCACUAUGAAGGCAACCGGUGAACAUCUUCACUUUGGAUAAACAAUACUAUAACCGUAGAACCAUUCGACCAUGAAGCACCUUUAGUUUGGAUAAACAACAUUGCUCCGAGACCGAUUGAUUACCUAUCCAAGUCUCGGUCAAGAAGAAUUUUCAAGUCCUUACUAGUAGAGAUCAUCUCAUCAGCCUUCUCGACGAAGUGAGGUGUUACCAGGUUACUACAUUCGGCACCCUGAGAGCCCAAUUUGAUAUUGAACUUCGUAGAACUAAUAGCCUUGUCUUCAGGUUCUAGAACCUGAAGGUCGAGACGUGUUCAUUUCUCGACCGCAGUCGUGAGAUUCAGAAGUCAAUAGUGCGCCCAAUGCAACAUCAACUCAUUUUACUUACCGGUCAAGCUCGACCGUCGAGUUGGCAUGCCCCACACACAACCGAAGGACAUAGUUAGCUUUUUAAUUACUCGGCUUGUGCGCCACGUAUACUUGAUAGUUUUUAAGAUCAACAGAAGGUAAAGAGCAAUAAAAACUGAUUAACGAAUUUAACAAAUUUAAUAGCGCCAAUUGAUCCUCUUGUAUUCUUCUUGAAAUCAAUUUCACAAUAACGAAUAUUAGAAUCAUGAGAUGAUUGAUAAUAAAUUAUUGAAACAGAGAAGAUAUAGCAAAUAAGAUAAGGUAGCUGGCAUUUGAUAGCGAUUUUGCUUGUAAAACUACACUUUUUGUCCAUCCAGAAGAAACCCAUUCUUCUGUUACAUGGCUUAACCGUGACCACACAAAACAGGAGAGCACGGGAAGGGCACCAGAAGUGGAGGGCAAACAAUCCUUGUCCGUGCUUUGUCCAUCGAGAAUAAGAAAUUGUAGGGACUAGGGGCCCAUUGCUCUUUUGAGAUGCAAGUUAAGGGACCUAACAAAGGGAAGUAAAAAGCAUUGGUAGGACAAAACAAGCCGUUUUAGGAAAACAACUUGGGGGAAGAUUCUCUCAUUUCCUAAUCUCUCUCCCAUUUUCUCUCCUUCUAUUUGAACGGUUACGGUUUAGCUACGUCAAUAUCUUAUAUAUAUAUUUUUAGAGACGAUAAGACAAAAAAUAAUAUGUGGGAGAAGGGAAAAGAAGGGGAUGAGAAUAGGAGGGGAGAUAAUUCUCUUCCAAACAACUUGCCUAUACAAUUCGGAUUCUAAGACGGUGGUAUCCCAAACGAAUCUCAUCCGACUAUGUGUUUAAACAUUGCACAUGACACCACGUGAUUGUUAAAACAUUGUCACCGUAGUGUAUUGUACAUAUACAUGAUUGUUUUGAAGUAACAUCAUCAUUGUGACAUAUUCAUGACGUAUGCUUAUCUCGCCGACUAGAGUUUCAGAUUCCUAACCAGGCGGGCAUAAACGUGCUUACAGCCUAAAAGGCCUUAACCUCAUAGAUCUGAAAACACAUUUCUGUCGGAGAAAUUGUCAAGAAUAAGAUACGAACUAGAGUUUACUCCGGGCAAGAUACCUGAGAUUUUUAGCCGUUAAAGUCAUUGAAUUCUUGACCAAUGAUCUAACAGCUAAGUUCACAUUGUAUAACCGAGGCACACUACAGAACGUAGAAAAAAAUAAUGGGGAUUAAAACGCUUCAUUGGGUAGAGGGAUAAGUGACAAAACAAUGAGAAAAAACACAUCAAUUGUAUUAGAAAUGCAACUUGCCAAUGUGCACAACAACAAAUGAACAUAGUUGCUACUCCACCGCAAAACCACCUCUGUGUCUGUCAAAUCUUAUUAAUCUCUGCGAGCAGAGGUAGCAAAACAACCUUGAAAAAAAACCCCCCACAACUUUCCAUAUGUUUUUUUUGACACCCCCGUUAACCCCUCAUAAUCAUAAACUACUAAUGACACAUUCUUCAAAGAACACGAAAAUAUAAAAAUACUAAUAAAAGAAAACCCAAAUGGCGCAAUGCCUGUAUAGAGAGAGAGAGAGAGAGCGAGAGCAGCAGAGGCUUAAUUCAAUUCAAUGUUUUGAUUCGAAGGGGUGAAGACUGAAGAGCCGCCAUUAAAGCUUUAAGCUUGGGGCUUGUCCCACUUGAGUGGCUUGACAACCUCCCAGGUGAAGUCGGGGUCAUCCCUCCCGAAGUGUCCGUAGGCGGCGGUCUUCAAAAACCUUCCAUUGCCACCCCUCUUGAG
Molecule: long non-coding RNA, 47906 nt
Filed under: Malus domestica (apple)
Lineage: Eukaryota; Viridiplantae; Streptophyta; Magnoliopsida; Rosales; Rosaceae
Description: long non-coding RNA (MDOM_LNC011918)
Source: RNAcentral